RNAcentral lists this long non-coding RNA (86313 nucleotides) under Durio zibethinus. Its description in RNAcentral is "long non-coding RNA (DZIB_LNC001983)". Lineage: Eukaryota; Viridiplantae; Streptophyta; Magnoliopsida; Malvales; Malvaceae. The record is from RNAcentral.
CUAAUCUUCAAUAGAAGUUAAUUAUAUGAGCAAUAUAUAAAGUUUAGCAAUUUCUCAUUAUCCAUUAAAGGAAAAAUGGAGAGAAAACAGAUACCUCAAGCUCUCCCACUUCUUGGGGAAAAUCAAAGACUUGUUCUAAUCUAUUGCACCAAGAUAUUUCAAGUUCUUGUAGAUGCACCAAACUUUGAGCAAGGGGAGUCGAAAAGAGAUAUGCCAGUUGCAUACACCACCGUAUAUUCAAAGUCUUAAGACUUUGGAGGUUAACAAGAUGGAUGGGCCCUUUCCAUAUCCACUUCAAUUCUGAUAAUGACUCUAGCUUCAAAGAAGUUAGAUUAGAGAGUAGCUGUACCUGACAUGAAUUCAUUGAUUGAAAACGCAAAUAAAUAUGGAUAAAACGUUACAUACAAAGGCAAUAAUAGUAGUUAUUGAAUAAUAUAUAAUUUAACAAAGAAUAAAAAAAAGAGAAAAAAUACAAUGAUUUUAUAAAGUGUACUAAUAAAGAGAAAAAAAAAAUAUAUAUAUAUAUAUAUAUAUAAUGUUAGUUUUCUCAACUUGCAAGUCAUGUAAUAAAUAUACAUUUAGAUUAGUUACUAAUAUAAUUUAAUUAAACUUUAUCUCUUCUAAUCUUCAAUAGAAGUUAAUUAUAUGAGCAAUAUAUAAAGUUUAGCAAUUUCUCAUUAUCCAUUAAAGGAAAAAUGGAGAGAAAACAGAUACCUCAAGCUCUCCCACUUCUUGGGGAAAAUCAAAGACUUGUUCUAAUCUAUCGCACCUAGAUAUUUCAAGUUCUUGUAGAUGCACCAAACUUUGAGCAAGGGGAGUCGAAAAGAGAUAUACCAGUUGCUCACACCCCCGUAUAUUCAAAGUCUUAAGACUUUGGAGGUUAACAAGAUGGGUGGGCCCUUUCCAUAUCCACUUUAGUUCUGGUAAUGACUUUAGCUCCAAAGAAGUUAAAUUAGAGAGUGGUCGUACCUGACAUGAAUUCAUUGAUUGAAAAUGCAAAUAAAUAUGGACAAAACAUUAUAUACAAAGGCAAUAACAGUAGUUAUUGAAUAAUAUACAAUUUAAAAAGAAUAAGAAAAAGAGAAAAAAUACAAUGAUUUUAUAAAGUGUACUAACAAAGAGAAAAAAUAUAUAUAUAUAUAAUGUUAGUUUUCUCAACUUGCAAGUCAUGUAAUAAAUAUACAUUUAGAUUAGUUACUAAUAUAAUUUAAUUAAACUUUAUCUCUUCUAAUCUUCAAUAGAAGUUAAUUAUAUGAGCAAUAUAUAAAGUUUAGCAAUUUCUCAUUAUCCAUUAAAGGAAAAAUGGAGAGAAAACAGAUACCUCAAGCUCUCCCACUUCUUGGGGAGGAAAAUCAAAGACUUGUUCUAAUCUAUCGCACUCAGAUAUUUCAAGAUCUUGUAGAUGCAACAAACUUUGAGCAAGGCAAGGCGGGAAGAUGGAUUUCAAUUCACUGCACUUCCGAAUGGUUGCAUUCUUUAGACUUUGGAGGCUUGCAUUUAGAAGCUCUCCCACUUCUUGGGGAAAAUCAAAGACUUGUUCUAAUCUAUCGCACUCAGAUAUUUCAAGUUUUUGUAGAUGCAACAAACUUUGAGAAAGGCAAGGCGGGAAGAUGGAUUUCAAUUCACUGCACUUCCGAAUGGUUGCAUUCUUUAGACUUUGGAGGCCCUCAGGAUGUACGUUUGGGACAAUAUUUUUGUGUCCCAUGACAUUCUCCAGAGCCAACUUUUCCACAUUGCAGAACAACUUGUUGCAUGCACUUAAUGACGUUGAGUCAACAAUUUCCAAGGCUCUACAGUUCGGCCCCCGCAUAAAUGGAACAUAUUCGUUUACAACUAUAAUGUAGCUUUGUAGUUUAGGGAACACAAAGUUUUCUGGAAAACAUUGAGCAGUAGAAACCCUCAGUGACAGCACAGUCAAACAAGACAAUGAAUUCAGCUCCGAUAAGUCAACAUUGUUUUCACAUAUCACGUAUAGUUCUUGGAGUGAUGUCAACCUAUUUGUUACACACAAAUACAAAAAAGUAUUAUCAAACACUUAAAGCGGAUCAUAAAAAUAGAAGUAAACAUAAUUUAAUUUUAAUUACCUCAGCAAAUAUAGCAUGAUUCUUCAGCACCUUUUCUUAUAAAAAAAGGUUUGAGCAUUUUUUUAUUGUUUUGUAAUUCAUGUGACAAUCAUGUUAUAUAAUAGCAUUUUUUUUUAAUGGAAAUGACUACAGCUCUGAAUGCUUCAUGAUAACGGGAGUGACCAAAAGCUUAAGGUAGAUAUUUUUCCCAUAGUCUAAAGUCAAAUUAUUUAAUAAAGUAAAUAAAAAAAAUAACAUAAAACUAAAUACUUAAUUUUGGGCAAUAUGAUUAAAUAAAAUAAUUGACAUCUACUAUUACCUUGAUAGUAAAUUAGGGGGAAAAUUGAUCUGUUCUCUUCCAGAGUAAAAAAAAUGUAGCGAUUUUAGGCCACGCAAUGCCGCUAAUUCUUCAGGUAGCUCAUAAAUAUUAGUACCAGAAAAUGCAAGAAUCUCAAGGUUUUUCAUAUUUCCCAACGAUGAGAUGUUCUCCAACCUGCAUUUUACAAGGCACAGAGUUCGAAGAUUUGUUACCAAUUUAAGUACUUCCAGUGAGAAAAUGACAUUUUCGAGACGCAAAACUCGGAGAGCUUUCAUUCCUUCAACAAAGGCAAUCGGAACUUUCACUAAAGUCUUUCCUGUAAAAAUCAAAAUUUUGAGUUCUGGAAAUUCUAAUUUUUCAGGAAAAAUAUUUAUGUUGCUGUUCCAAAAGGAGAUUGCUGUAUGAGAUCCACAACUUUCACUUGGAGGCCAUUCCAUCAACCCCUCUUUUACCAUGAAUAUAUUUUUCCCUGUAGAUGUUAUCCAAUGAGCAAAAUCACGAACCACGUCAUGCAUGCUUACAUAUCUUUCAUCACCAUCAUCAUCAGUUCUCAAUAACAAACCAGACUUCUGGAGGUUUCUUAGUACUUCACGAAUUUCUCUCCGCAAGUCUUCAAUAAAGAAAAUAUGAGAAAAUAAUCCAUGACCAAUUGCUAACAUAACCAACUCCUCAAUCUUAAUAUUCCAAUCUUCUGGAAAAAGGGAACACAGCAAGAAACAUGUUCGAAUAUUAUCUCCCUUCAAAUAAUCAUAACUCAGCUUAAGGCAGUUGUAGAUGUCUUCAGAAACCUCUUCAUUGUCUAAAUGUCUUGAGUCCUUGAGUCGUUUAUUUGCUGCUUGCCACCCAUCUAGACUUGCACCUUUUAAAGCGUUUCCGAUUGUUACAAUUGCAAGAGGCAAACCCAUGCAUUCACUAGCAACCUCCUUGGCUACAUCUUUCAAUCUCGAAGAAACAUCUUUUAGACCAGCAGUAUCUUCGAGCAAAGUCCAUGCUUCACCUUCGGAUAAGAUGUCAAGUUGAAAUUUCUGUUGACAAUUCAUACGAUCACAGACUUGUUGAAGACGUGUGGUCAGAAGAACUUUGCAACCUUCGUGUUCAACUCCGAAUGGAAUACCUACAGCCCGCAAUUUAAAUUGAUUCCAAACAUCAUCGAUAAUCACGAGGAUCUUCUCCACGCCUUGCAAUCUCCGCCAUAACUCUUCUGCUUUUCCUUCUUCCGUGCUUACUUCAAAUUUCAAACCUAAUAAUUCUGCAAUUUUAUCUUGAAUUUUGUUGAUGUUUGGCGUUUGGGACAUUGUAGCCAUCACAACUUUGUCAAAGAGAUUUUGCUCUUUAGCAUGCCUCCCAACUUCUUUUGCCAAAGUUGUUUUACCCACCCCUGGCAUUCCAUACAAUCCAAUCAUGUUCACACCAUCAGUAUUUAGAGCCUUGAUGAUCUCAUUGAAAGUAAAAUUUGAAGACUCAUUAGGCAUGAAAUCUUUAGAGGGGAAGAAUUCUAUUCCUUCUGGAGGCUUACGGUGGCCCACCCGUGGAAAGUUACAACUCACAAGAAGUUUAUCGAUAGAGAUCGUCUUCUUUGCCACUUUCUUACUUAAGCAAUAUCGCCAACCCCAGCUUGGACACCAAUUGAAACACUUCAUACGUUCUAUUUGAGCUUCCAGACACUGGGUUUCUUCCAGUUCUUUCUCUGCCCGUUUUCGCCAGUGUUGGACAUCCUCCUCAAUUACCUCAUUUUGCCUUAUAGCCUCUUCGACAUCAUUUUUUACCCGAUCACUUUUCAAUUCAAGUUCUUUUCUCCGAUUCUUGAAUUCUUCAACAAUUUUCCCAAAUCGGAAAAAGUAACUAACAUAAGGUGAUGCAUAUUCUGUUGUGAGAUUUCCUACAGCAUUGGCAGCAGCAGAGGCAGCAAAUUCAGCAGCCAUUCUUUGAUGAUCUGAGAUUGAAAAACAACUUUAAUGAUUAGUAAACAUAUAAACUGUCGGAAAAAUCAACACGCACACGCAAAACCUAUACACAAAAUAACAAGCUCAAAUUAAGAAUAAGAACACACAAAUAUAUUUGUUUCAGUCCAACUCAAGAUCAUCUACUCCAAACCUGAUCUACUAACAACUAAAAAAAAGUCUAUAGGUAUUGAUUGUUGAGUAAUUGAUAUGUUAUGAUGUAUGUUUGUAAUUCUCUACAACUAGUAAAUUUUAUUUUUUAUCCAUGAACGUAAAUCAGUUGAACCGAACUACGUUAAAUUAUUGUAUUAAAUUAUUAUCUUUUGUGUAUUUAAUUAAUUAUUUGAUUUCGCUUCUGCUGACGUGAUUAGAUUGAAGCCUUUUGGCCUAACAUAAACAGCUAGAGAGACAAAAGCAAUUGUGAAUGUUUUCAAAGUACCUUAAUUACUUUGAGAGCUAAUUGUGAAGUAGAAGAGAAAAAUUGUUGAUGGAUCAACUUGGAAAUUGAAAAUUAUGCAAAUGGAAGAAAUUAUUCAGUGUUCAUGCGUAUAUUAGGAAUAUAUGUUACAUGUGUUAAGAGUAAAGGCAGUAUAUAUUUUGAUCAUUAAUCUAUCUAAUAUUUUCUCAAUUUUUAAAUAAAUCCAUUUUUUUCAUUUUUUUCCUUAUAAAUGCAGUCUUUUAUUUAAAAUAAGGUAGGGAAACAAACAAGUAAACAACUUUUGAGCAUAUAAAAAAUUAUGGAAAUAAAAAUAAUUAUUCAAGCAUGCCAAAUUGGGGAUGGACCUUCUAAAUUAAGCUGUGAGAAUUUUUUACAUCAUCAACCUUAAUAGAAAUUAAAAGAAAAAGGAAAUAAAGAAUAGUAACAAUAAGAUUAUAAGAACAUUGAAUUAUUUUUUUCUUUUUUUGAAGUUAAACGCAAAUCAGAAUAGAUAUAGCAUGAAAUAAAAUAGAAAAUAGAACUCAAAGAAACCACAAAAUUAUACGGCAAUACUAUUUUUGCUUCUUUUAUUGUAGAGAGAAAAACACAAAAAAAAAAAAAAGAGACAAAUAUACCUAGGACAUAUGAAUUUUCAGGAUUCAAGAUCAAGCUUUUUAUUUCUAUCCACACAGUUUUUAUUUUAUUUUAUUUUAUCUUUUUGAGUUCAAAGAAAACUUAAGUAGAAAGCAACCUUAUUUGAAAUGAACAAAAGAGUUUCAAGUAUUUACAAAUAUUGAGAAGUUGUGCUUGAAAUUUUCGUGACUGAUUGAAACUACAGAGAAAAGUUUGAUCAAAGACUUGUUUAAUUUCUUCGGAUUCUCUUUUAUCACCGUUAUUAUCAUUUUACUUGCUCAAAUCCUUAAUGAAAGACAGCUAGACAAGGGCCCAAGCAUCUUUUCCUUUUGUUGGGAGUCGGGUGCGCAAUGCCUUCAAGUCACACGUUUACUUUUCUUUUUUGUGCUCGGUCAAUUUUUUUUUUUCCUUGAAGAAAACUGAUCUAUUGAUGGUAGUGGUACAUGGCACCAUUGAUGCACUUUUGAAUUAUUGACCCCUUUAUUUUAUCUUUUCACAACUAUUUUUCAACAAUCACUUUCUCACCUACUUUAUUUGUUGGUUUUCAUGGAUUAAAUUCGAUGCGUUGAAAGAUUUAAUGAUUCAAAAUCUUGUUUAUUUCCUCCGUUGAUUUAUCCUAACGUAUGAAAGAAAUAGUUUUUCAUAUCAUCAUUUGCUGAUAUACUGGGAAAUUCCACAGCUUACACAAAUUUAUCAAAAUUAAAAUCUUAUAGUAAGAAUUUUUAUUUUUUUAAGACAAUAAUUAUUUGAUAAUUGAUAUUACUUUCGUUUAAAAAUAUUUCUCAUAUAUUAAUUUUUACGAAAUUAAAAAAAAAAAAACUUUGAUUUUAAUAUAUAUAAUAUUAAAAUUUAAUUUUGUAUAAAAUUAAAAUUUCAUAAUUUUUUAUGUUAAAAAAAUAAAAAAUAAUUUAAAAUAUAAAAAAUUAAAUAAGAAUUUUAGAUUUUAAAAAAAGAAAUAGGAUAUAUAUGUAACAUCCCAAAAAAAUAGCAAAAAAAAAAAAAAUAAGGAACGGAAUGAGUAGUUAUAAAUAGAUUUUUCACACAAAUGCGUAAUUCGUCAUCUCAAGUUCUCGACUCUCUAACCAUUUACUCUUUUAGCUAUACUUUUUAUUUUGUCUCAGGAAAAAAGAAUAAGUAAAAGAAAUGGAGAAUCGGAGAGAAAAGAGGCACCUCAAGCUCACUUUUGAAUUAUUGAUCCCUUUAUUUUUCUCCUUUUUCAAUUAUUUUUCAGCAAUGAUUUUCUCACCUACUCGGUUUUGUUGGUUUUCAUGGAUUAAAUUUAUUUUUCAAUAAUAAUUUUCUCACUUACUCAGUUUUGUUGGUUUUCAUGGAUUGGAUUCUGUAUCAAAUUAUGCCCCAUGCAAUGCAAUUAGAUUUAAUGACCAAACAAACAAAAGAAAGGGUUAAUGAUUCUAAAUCUCUUGGUUUUUUUUUUUUUUCCUCCAUUGAUUCAUCCUACCACUUGAAAGAAGUAAAUUUUUAGAUUAUAUGAGCUGAUAUGCUGCGAAGUAUCUUAAUUACUUUGGGAGCAAUAUAUCGCUCCAUGAAAAUGAAAGUAAAAGAGAACAAAUGGUUGAUGGAUCAAUUUGGAAAUAAAAAUUCUGCAGAUGGAAGAAAUUAUUCAGUGUUCAUGCAUAUAUUAAGAAUAUACGUUACAUGUCUUAGAUUAAGGGCAUAGUAUAUAUUUUUAUCAUUAAUCUAUCUAAUAUUUUCUCAAUUUUUAAAUGAAUCUAUUUAUUUCACUUUUUUCCUUAUAAAUGCAGUUUUUUUUUUCUUUAAAUAUGCCAGGGAAACAAAUAAGUAAACAACUUUUGAGCAUAUAAAAAACAAUGGAAAUAAAAAUAAUUAUUUAAGCAUACCUAAUUGGGGAUGGAUCUUCUAAAUUAAACUGUGUGGACUCUUUACAUCACCAACUCCAGAUAUCAUUAGGAAAGGAGAAUUAAGGGCCAACCUAAAUAGAAAUUAAAAGAAAAAGGUAAUAAAGAUUAGCAGCAAUAAAAUUAUAAGAACAUUGAAUUAUUUUUUUCUUGUUUCUGAAGUUAAAAGCAAAUCAGAAUAGAUAUAGCAUAAAACAAAAUAGAAAAUAGAAAGCAAAGAAAGCAAAAUAUAUAUAUAUACAGCAACACUAUUUUCUUUCAUUCUAGAGAGAAAAACACAGCAAACAAGAUAAAUAUACCUAGGAAACAUGCAUUCUCAGGAUCCACGCAGUUUUUUUUUUUCUUUUUUUUGAGUUCAAAGAAAACUUAAGUAGAAACCAACCUUGUUUCAAAUGAACAAAGAGCUUCAAGUAUCCACAAAUAUUGAUAAGUUGUGCUGGAAAUCCUUGUGACCGAUUGAACCUACAAAGAAAAGUUUGAUCAAAGACUUUUUUAAUUUCUUUUGAUUCUCUUUUAUCAUCAUUAUUACCAUUUUCCUUGUUCAAAUCCUUAGUGUAAGACAACUAGAAAACGGCUUAUAAUAAGAUUUUCUAUUCUUUUAUAAGGUACCAAUUAUUUGAUAAUUGAUAGUUGCAAAUAAAUUAUUCACACAAAUGCAGAAUUCCCUAUCUUAACUCUUUAACCAUUUACCCUUUUAACUAUUUUGUCUGAUAGGAAAAAAAAUUAAGUUAAAGAAAUAGAGAAAUGGAGAGAGAAGAGGUACCUCAAGCUCACCAAUUUCUUUGGGAAAAUCAAAGACUUGAUCUAAUCCAUUACAGUAACAAACAGAAACAAUUGUUGAUGGAUCAACUUGGAAAUUGAAAAAUCUGUAGAUGGUAGAAAUUCUUAAGUGUUCAUGCGCAUAUAUAUAAGGAAUAUACCAUACAUGUGUUAGAGUAAAGGCAUAGUAUAUAUUUCGAUGAUUCUAUCAAAUUAUUUUCUCAAUUUUGGAGAAUAAAAUAGAAAUGGUUUAUUGGAGCAUGCCUCCCUUGGGAUGGAUCUUCAAGAGCUAUAAGGACCUUUUACUUCACCAACUCCAUAGACCUGUGAAGCAAAUUCGAGGACCAGCCUAUGUAUAGAUUUCAUAUAUAAAAUAUGUCAGUAAAAUUAAAAAAAAAAAAGUUAAGUACAGACCGAACCAAAUGAAAAUAAAAAUAAUUAUUUAAGCAUACGUAAUUGGGGAUCUAAAUUAAGCUGUGAGAACUUUUUACAUCAUCAACUCCUGAGAGACAGGAUAAGUAAGGACCAACCUUAAUAGAAAUUAAAAAAAAAAGGAAAUAACGAUUGGCAGCAACAAAAUUAUAAGAACAUUGAUUUUUUUUCUUUUUUUGGAGUUAAAAAGCAAAUCAAAAUAGAUAUAGCAUGAAACAAAAUAAAAAAUAAAAAUCAAAGAACCAAAAAAUUAUACAGCAAUACUAUUUUUGUUUCUUUUAUUGUAGAGAGAGAAACUAAAAAAAAAUAAAUAUACCUAACAAAUAUGAAUUUUCAGGAUCCAAGAUGGAGCUUUUUAUUUCGUUCCCCACAGGUUUUUUUUUCAAAGAAAACUGAAGUAAAAACCAAAUUUGCUUCAAAUGAACAAAAAGCUUCAAUUAUCAAAAAGAUUGAGAAGUUGUGCUUCAUAUCUUUGUGACCGAUUGAAGCCACAGAAAAAUGUUUCAUCAAAGACUUGUUUAACUUCUUUGGGUUCUCUUUUGUCAUCAUUAUUAUUACCAUUUCCUUGUUCAAAUCUUUGCUGGAAGACACCUAGACAAGGGCCCAAGUGUCUUUUACUUUUCCUGGAAGUUGGGAGCAAUGCUUUUGGGUCAUACCUUUACUUUUUUUUUUUUUUUGGGUGCUCGUUCGAUUUUUUGAAGAAAACUGAUCUAUUGAUGCUAGUGGGACGUGGCAUCAUUAACGCACUUCUAAAUUUUUUACCCCUUUAUUUUUGUCUUCUUUCAAUUAUUUUUCAACAACUACUAAUUUCUCUGUUUUUUUUUUUUUGUUUUUUUUGGUUGCUUUUCGUGGGAUUAGAUUCUGCGUCGAAUUAUGCCCUACGCGUUGAAAGAUUUAAUGAUUCAAAAUCUUAUUUAUUUCCUCCGUUGAUUUAUCUUAACGUAUGAAAAAAAUAGUUUUUUAGAUUAUCUUAGCUGAUGUACUGCAAAACUGCAAAGGUUACAGCUUACACUAAUUUAUCAAAAGUAAAAUCUUAUUAUAAGAUUUUUUAUUCUUUUAUAACUUAACAAUUAUUUGAUAAUUGAUGGUUGUAAAUAGAUUUUUCACACAAAUACAAAAUUUUCUAUCUCAACUCUCCAUCCAUUUACUCUUUUAGCUAUUUUGUCUGAUAGGGAAUAAUAUAAGCAAAAGAAAUAGAGAAUUGAAAAGAGAAGAGGUACCUCCAGCUCAUCCAUUCCAUUGAGAAAAUCAAAGAUUUGCUCUAAUGGAUUACAGUCACAAACAGAAACAAUUGUUGAUGGAUCAACUUGCAAAUUGAAAAUUCUGCAAAUAGUAGAAAUUCUUCGGUGUUCGUGCACGUGUAUAUUAAGAAUAUAUCAUAAUGUUUUAGAGUAAAGGCAUAGUAUAAAUGCAGUUUUUAUUUAAAUAUGGUAGGGAAAGAAACAAGUAAAGAACUAUGGAGCAAAUAACAAAUUAUGGAAAAUAAAUAAAUAUAUAUAUAUAUAUAUUAUUUAAGCUUACCUACCUAGGAAUGGAUAUUCUAAAUUGAAGUAUGUGGACGUUUUACAUCACCAACUCCAGAGAUCAUUAGGAAGGGAAAAUUAAGGACCAGCCUAAAUAGAAAUUUAAAAAGAAAUGGUAAAAAAAUCAACAACAAUAAAAUUAGAAGUACAUGAAAUUAUUUUUUUCUUUCUUUGGAGCUAAAAGCAAAUCAAAAUAGAUAUAGCAUGAAACAAAAUAAUACAGUACUUUUUUAUCAUUAAAAAUGAAAAAGAAAGUAGAAAGCAAUGAAAGCCAAAAAGAUAUAGCAACAUUAUUUAAGUUAAUGUCUUUAUUAUUCCUCUUACCUGUUUAAGUUAAUACUUUUUAUGAAAUUUUUAAUUUUAAAAAUAUCAAUCUUUUUACGUUUUUUAUCCUUAAAAGUAUUUUUUAGCCAUUUAUCUUAACUAUUUACUGGAAAAAUAAUUAAUUUAAAUUUUAUGUUGCCUACUUUAUUCUUAUUUUCAUUUAUCAUUCUUAAGGUGUUAUAACACUUUUAAUUCAUUUUACGUCAAAUGAUAUUAAUUUUAUUAUCUUUUUUAUUUGUUUAUGUUAUUAAGUUUUUUUUAAAGAAGUUUGUUUUUAUUUUCAAAUAUUAAUUGUUAACAUUUUCUUUUUUAGACCUUAAAAUAUUUUUAGCGAUUAACCUAAAAUUAUUUUAUAAAAAAAAUAAUUAAUUUAAAUUUUACAUUACCAAUUUAAUUAUUAUAUUAAAAUAAUAUUGUCUAACAUCUACUCUAUAUUAUAUUAUGAUUAUAAUUUUUAUAGCCAUUUCUUAAUCCAUUACGAUAUUUUUAACAUAUUUUACAUCAAUAUGAAUUUUAUUACUCUUACAUGUUUACGUUUAUUCUUUAUCUUUUAUUAUGUUUAAAAUUUUCAUAACUCUUUUUUAUGAUGUUAUGAUACUUCUAAAUCAUUUUAUACUAAUUGAUAUGAAUUUUAUUAUUCUUCUCAUUUAUUUACACUAGUAAUUUUUUAAAAAAAAAUAUUUCUAACUCCUUUUACCUUAAUUGAUAUGAAUUUUAUUAUUAUUCUCAAAUAUUUAUGUUUAUUCUUACUUUUUAUUACAUUUUAAAUUUUUAUAAAUGUUUAUUUUAAUGUUACGACACUUUUUUAAAUUUUUAAAAUUUUAAAUUUUUUAAUAUUACUUUUUUAACAUUAACUUUUUAGCCUUUAAAGUAUUUUUAGCCAUUGGCUUAAAAAAUUUACAAAAAAAAUAAUUAUUAAUUUAAAUUUUACAUUUCAAACUUAAUUAUUUAUGUUAAAAUAAUAAUUUUUAUACUUUUUUUCUUAAUUAUUUAUGUUAAAAGAUUUAUAACUUUUUUUUAUAAUACUUAUGACCUAUUUUACAACAAAUUAUACUAAUUUUAUAAUUUUUCACACAUGUUUACAUUAAUAAUUUUUUUGAUAUUUUAUUUUCAAAAAUUAAUUUUUUAACUUUUAAGUAUUUUUUAGUCAUUGCCCAAAAAAAAAUUUACAUGAAUAUAAUUAAUUUAAAUUUUACAUAACAACUUAAUCAUUUAUGUUAAAAAAUAUCUUUUUACGAUUUAUUUUUAUCUUUCUAUCAUAUUUAAAAUUUUUAUAAUUUUAUCUUGAGUUAUUACAUCACUUUUAACUUAUUUUAAACUAACUGCUAUAAAUUUUAUUAUUCUUCUCAAUUAUUUACAUUAAUAAUUUUUUACAAUAAAUUUUAAAAUAUUAACUUUUUAUGUUAUCAUUUUAGCCUUGAAAGUAUUUGUUUAGCCAUUGAUGUUAUAUAUCUAUUAAUUAAAAAAAUAAUUAAUUUAAAUUUUACAUUACUAAUGUAAUUAUUUAUGUUAAAAUAAUAUCUUUCAACACUUAAAUUUUGCUUGGUUAAAAUUAAAGAUAAAAAAAAUCAUGAGUGAAAAACUUAUUAAUCCAAUAAUUAAAAUUUAUAAUAUUUUUUUAUUGUAUACUUUAAAUUAAAAAGUUGUAUCCUUACCCCUUUUCAUUUUCUAUAUCAAGUAAAACCUUAUUCUUACCUUUUAUUAGUUUUAAAUUUUUCAUAACUUAUUUUUUAAAAUGUUGCAAUAUUUUUAAUAAAUUUUAUGUCAAUUGAAACAAAUUUUAUUUUUUCUAGAUCUCACAUCUUUACAUCAAUAUUUUUUAUUCUUUCAUUUUAAAAAAUAAUUCUUUUAUAUUUUCCUUGAAAUUAUUUUAUGUUAAUAUUUUAUUAAUUUAUAUAGAAUCAUAUUUUUGUUUAAUAAUACUUUUAGCUAUUUUAAGAGAUACUAAUUAUUUUAAAAUUUUAAAAUAUAUAUUUUAUUAUUUUUUAUUUUUAAGUAAAUUCAUAAACAAGUAAGAAAGUGAAAAAACGAAGACUAAUCGAGGCAAACGAGAAAUGAAGUUGAGCAUAGCAAAAAUUAUGGAGAAUAAAAUUUAUAUAUAAUGGUUUAUUGAAGCAUACCUCACUUGAGAUGGAUCUUCAAAAGCUGUAUGGAUCUGUAAUGGAAAAUCAAGGACCAGUUUUUUUUUUUUCUAUUUCCCUGUUAAAAGAACAGAAAAUUAGAAAUCAAUAAAAGCCAAAAAAAAAAAAAAAGAACGCUUUUUUUAGUUAUAAAAGCAAAGUAGAAAAUCAAGGAAAUUAAAAAAGCACCAAAAUUUUUUUGUUGAGUUAUAAAAAGAAGAGCAAUAAAGCAGAAAUCAAGCAAAGGAUUUGGUACUCUAGCUAGCUGGAAGAUGUGGAGAUAAUGAUAGAAGACGAUGCUUGAUUGCCUCGAUGGAAACUGUUUGAGGAGAGAGCUGUAAGCGAAAGGUUAGGCAGCAAUACAAAAGAAGAAAAGAUAGAAAUAACAAAGAAAUGUGAAGUUUCAAGAUCCAACAACUUUGCUUCAAUUGAAUAAAAAAUUGAACCAUCAAAGACUUCGCUGACCAAUUGAAACUACAAAGAAAAGUAAGUUUCACCAAAGACUUCUUUAAUUUUUUUGGAGUCUUUGUUUAUUAUUAUUGUAAUUACUAUUUUUCUUAUUCUAAUCCUUAGUGGAAGACGAUUAGACAAGGGCCUGAUCGUCUCUUUCUUUUCUUGGGAGCUGUACCUUUUUUAAUUGAUCACUAUAUUACGGUUUAAUAUUAAACUUUGUCAUUGGAUUUUUAAUUUAUUGAUUUUUAAAUAAAAAUAAUAAAAUAAUAAUAUUUUAAAAAUAUUCUAUUAAUAUAAGUGAUACAUUUCUGUUAAUUCCAAUUUUCUUACGAGUUUUAAGAAAACUCAUGAAAUACAAGCAACUUUGCUUCAAAUGAAAAAAAAAAAAAAACUAUCCACAAAUAUAAAAGAGUUCUACUUAAAUUCUUUGUAAUUAAUUAAAUUAUUUUAAAAAUUGCAUCAAAGACUUAUUUUAAUUUUUUUUGAAGUUUAUUAUUAUUAUUAUUAUUAUUAUUAUAAAAUUACUGCAUUUCCUUGUCUUGGGAGAAAUAUAUUUUAAGUUCACACCUUUCAUUUUUUUUUUCUUUCUUUCGAGAAAAUCUGAUCGUUAUCAAGAUUGCCAGCUUGUUCUUCACAGCUUUUGUUAGUGAGAUCUAACAUUCACUUUUGAAUUUUUGGUCUUGUUACUUUUUUUAAAUUAUUUUUCGGCAGUAAUUUUCUCAACUACUUGGUUUUGUUCGUUUUCACGGGAUUACAUUGUGUGUCAAAUUAUGCAACAUGCGAUACAAGAUUUAAUGCCGAACAAAUUAAAUCUUCAUUUUAAUUAAAAUAAAGAGACAAAUUUCAUAAUUUGAUAUUUAUGGAUUAUUUUAAUAGUUGUUUCAUAAAUUAAAAAAAAUUAUUUGAAAAGUUGUAUAAAAAUAUAAAAAAUUUUAUUAAAUACAUUAACAGUAAAAUUUUUAAAAUUUUAUAAACGAAAUUAAAAUAAUGACACAUUUUUUAUAUAUUUAAAAAUUUUAAUUUAAAAAAUAUAUAUUAUCAUUUUAAUUUAAUUUGUAAAAUUAAAAGAUUUUACUAUUAAUUUAUCAAAUACUUUUUAAAAUAUAAUUUCAAAAUUUUGUGAAAAAAUAUGAAUGAAUUAAUUUUAAAAAUUGAAAUCAACAUCAAAAUAAAAAAAAUUAAAAACGUAUUAAUUUUUCUGCAUUGUCAUUACCAUUUUUCUUAUUCAAAUCCUUGUGAAAGACAGCAAGAGAAGGGGCCAAGCAUCUACUUCUUUUCCUAAAUUAUUUAACCAGUAAAUAAAAGUGCAAUGGCACAUGGAUUAGCAACAAAUUGACCGCACAUGCAGGUCACGUGCGCUUUAACGGUCCCUAACAGGUUUGUUAAAUUUUUGUUUGUUUCUUUGUUGGUGUAAUCUUUUUUAGUCUUUCUAAAAAAAAAAAAAGGUUUUUUCCUUAUCAUUCACGGCGCAAACAGUCACCGAUGCUUUUAAGAGGCAUAAGAUCUCAAUUUUAUUCAUAUUUAAUAAAAAAAUUAAUUUUUCAUCUGAACGAAAAUAAAAAAUAAAUAUUAUAUUAUAUAAAUAAAAAUAAAUAUAACUUUAAAUUUUUAUAAAAUACGAAUAUGAAAAUAAGUAUAGAAAAAUAAUAUAACACUUGCUUCAUAUUUAUAUUUUAUACAUAUUUAUAUAUAAUUAAUAAAUAAGUUUUUUAUUAAAUAAUAUAAAUUAUUAUUUUAAAUUAAUUAAAAUAAAUAUAUUUUUAUUAAAAAUAUAUAUUAAUAGAUAUUUAUUAAAAAUUAUCUAUAAAUACAAAUUAAAAAUAAAAAAAUAAUUUUUUAUUUUUUAAAGAUUAUAAAAAUAAAAAUUACUCAUAUUUAUUAAAUAUUUAUAAAAAUAAAAUAAAUUUAAAAUUUUAUUAAAUAUAAAUAUGAAAAUAAAUAUAAUAUAUAAAUAUAUAAAUAAAAAUAAUAAAUAUUUUAUCUUUCCCGUAUCCUAGUCUUUCGCGUCCCUAAAAAUAAACGAAUGAGAGACAACAACCAAUUACGACUUACGAGGGGAGCAAGGGCUUUGUAUUUGGUCUACGUCGGGGACCACCCCCUCACCCUGACAUAUUCCCUUAUCUUGAAAUCCACAUUUCCACGUUGUUUGAUCUUUAGCUUUAACGAAAUGCCACCCUCAAUUUCAAAUAUUAAACUGUGUAGCAUUAAUUUUGACACUAACUUCUUGUUUCAUUCGAUUCCAAUUUUUAAAUUCCCUUUCAAAUAACUUAAGAGCCGAAUAUCACGCAAUUUUCUUGGAUUCUCUUUUGUUAUAAUUAUUACCCUUUUUUGUUAUUCAAAUUUUAAUGGAAGAGAGCUAGCUAAAGUCUGUUUAUAUUUUUAUAAAAGAGAAUUUUAUUUACGAAAUUUUAAAUUUUAACAGAUAAAAUGAUUUUUGAAUAAGUGUAAAUUUUCAAUAAGAAAUGAUUUUUUAUGUUAUUCAAAUAUUAAAUUUUUAUAUUUGAUUCAAAAAAAAUUAAAUUACUUAAUAAAAGAUUUUUAUUAUAAUGAUUUUCUUUACAUGUGAAUAAUCACGUGAUAAUUAUUUUAAUUACUAUUAUAUUAUUAAAAUUAAACAUGUGACAGGUAUUAAACAAUUAAAAUAUAAAAAGGUUUUUAUUUUUAUAUUAUUAAAAAUAAGCUAGUUUAUUAUGAUAAAAAUAUAUUUUUUUUCAAAAAAAGAAUAUAUAUAUAUGAUAAAAUAAAAAACAUAAUAUCUAAUUGAAACAAAAUACAAUUAAGAACACAAACUUUAAUUGAUGUUUAAAAAGAUAAUUUGUAAAAACUACGUUUUUAAAAAUAUAAACCUAAUCUUUAAUUGAAAAAAUUUUAUUACAGAUUAUAUUUUUUAAAUUAGAUUAUCUUAGCUGAUAUGCGGUGAAACUUCACUAUUUAUAGUAAUUUAUCAAAAUUAAAAUCUUAGAAUAAAAUUUUCUAUUAUUUUCUUAGAUAAAAAUUGCUUGAUAAUUGAUAGUUGUACAUGAAGUUUUCACACAAAGAAAAAUUCCCCAACUCCAAAUCUCAAACCAUUUACUAUUUUUCCUUCUUAAAAUACAUGGACUCACGGUUGGGGAGGGGAUUUUCAUGAAACCAUUGAAAUCGUAAAACCAAUGAAUGGUGAGCUAAGUUGAUUCUUUCUUUUCUUAAAUAAUACGAAAUUAAUUUCAAAAAAUUAUUUCAUCCACUCUAAAUGAAAUUCUGUUAUUUGCAAAGACAAAGACAAUUCUACUUAUGGUAGUUUGCUACUAAGCUAAUUCUAUGGUUAACUAAUUAAAUAUUAAUUAUAACCAGCAUGCUUUAAACUUAAUUAGAACAAAACAGGAAAAAUAAUUUCAUCAACACAAAUUGAGAUUUAAUUAUUUCUAAUCAUUUGUAAUGAGAUUGAGAUAUGUGCUAUAUAUAUAUAUAUAUUCCCAUAUUAUCUAUGAAACCUAAUUUAAAGUAUCAAUUUUAAUUAUUUUAAUAAAAAAAUUCUUUCAUAAAUUUUUUUUUAUCUAAUUUUUGAGUAUACAUAUGAAAUCUUUAAAUUUGAGAUACGAAAAUUUGUGAACAGCUCUUUGAAGUAAAUCUUUUAAUGUACCUUAAAUUAGAAAGAUGAAAGAAUUAAUGAAAGACAAGGACCCAAAUAUCCUUCUCUUAUGGAGUUUCGCUUCACUUUUCUUUUCAUUUUUUUCCUAAAUUAUUCAACCAAUAAAUAAUAAUGUAAUAGCAAGAGGAAUGCAUAGGUCUUAAAGAUCCACAAAUAUAAAAAAGUUCUACUUAAAGUCUUUGUAAUUAAUUAAAACUACCUAAAAAAAAAUACAUCAAAGACUUCUUUAGGUUUUUUGGAGUCUUUUAAUAAUAAUAAUAUUAUUAUUAUUAUUACGAAAACCUUAAGUGGAAGACAACUUGACAAGGGUCCAAUGUACCAUCAUUUCCUUGUCUUGGGAGAAACGCAUUUAAGUUCACACCUUUAAUAUUUUUUUCUUUUCUUUCGAAGAAAUCUGAUCGUUAUCAAGAUUGCCAGCUUGUUCUUUACAGCUUUUGUAGUGAGAUAUGACAUUCACUUUUGAAUUUUUGGUCCUGUUACUUUUGUUUUUUUUUUUUAAUUAUUUUUCAGCAGUGAUUUUCUCACCAACUUGAUUUGGUUGGUUUUCACGGGAUUACAUUCUGUAUCAAAUUAUGCAACAUGCGAUACAAGAUUUAGUGCCCCACAAACUAAAUCUUCAUUUUAAUUAAAAUAAAGAGACAAAUUUCAUAAUUUGACAUUUAGGAUAAUUUUAAUAGUUGUUUUAUAAAUUUAACAAAAAUCAAAAAAAUUGUUCGAAGAGUUGUAUAAAAAAUAUAAAAAAUUUUAUUAUAUAUAUUAACAAUAAAAUUUUUUAAUUUUAUAAAUGAAAUUAAAAUGAUAAUAUAUAUUUUAUAUAUUUAAAAAAUUUAAUUUAAAAAAUAAGAUAUGUAUUAUUAUUUUAAUAUAAUUUAUAAAAUUAAAAAAUUUCAUUAUAAAUUUAUCAAAUAAUUUUUUGAAAUAUAAUUUCAAAAGUUUGUAAAAAUUAUGAAGAAAUUAAUUUUAAAAAUUAAAAUCAAAGUCAAAAUAAAUAACAUUAAAAACCUAUUAAUUUUUUUAGUAUUGUCAUUUCCAUUUUUUUUAUUCAAAUCCUUGUGAAAGACAGCAAGAGAAGGGCCCAGGCAUCUUUUUCUUUUACUAAAUUAUUUAACCAGUAAAUAAAAGUGCAAUGGCACAUGCAUUUAGCAACAAAUUGAUCGCACAUGCAGGUCACGUGCGCUUUAACAGUGCCUUUAACUGGUUUGUUAAAGUUUUGUUUGUUUCUUCGUCGGUGGAAUCUUUUUCACUGUUUCUAAAAAAAAAAUAAGGUGUUUUCCGUAUCAUCCACGGCGCAAACAGUGGUUUUCUGACACGACGCUUUCAAGAGGCAUGGGAUCUGAAUUUUAUUCAUAUUUAAUAAACAAUAUAAUUUUUCAUCUGAACGAAAAUAAAAACAAAUAUUAUAUUAUAUAAAUAUAAAUAAAUAUAAUUUUAAAUUUUUAUAAAAUACGAAUAUGAAAACAAGUACAAAAAAAAAUAAUAUAACAUUUAUUUCAUAUUUAUAUCUUAUAUAUUUUUAUAUAAUUAAUAAAUAUAUUUUUUAUUAAAUAAUAUAAAUUAUUAUUUUAGAUUAAUUAAAAUAAAUAUAUUUUUAUUAAAAAAUAUCUUAAUAGAUAUUUAUUAAAAAUUAUCUAUAUAUUCAAAUUAAAAACUAAAAAAAUUUUUAUUUUUUAUUUUUUUAAAGACUAUAAAAAUAAAAACUACUCAUAUUUAUUAAAUAUCUAUAAAAAUUAAAAUAAAUUUAAAAUAUUUAUUAAAUAUAAAUAUAAAAAUAAAUAUAAUAUAAAACUAUAUAAAUAAAAAUAAUAAAUAUUUUAUCUUUCCCGUAUCCUAGUCUUUCACGUCCCUAAAAAUAAACGUAUGAGACACAACAACCAAUUACGACUUACGAGGGGAGCAAGGGCUUGUCUUUGGUCUGCGUCGGGGACCACCCCCUCACCCCGAUGUAUUCCCUUAUCUUGAAAUCCUCAUUUCCACAUUGCUUUGAUCUUUAGCUUCAACGAAAUGCCAACCUCAAUUUCAAAUAUUAAACUGUGUAGCAUUAAUUUCGACACUAACUUCUUGGUUCAUUCGAUUCCAAUUUUUAAAUUCUCUUUUAAAUAACUUAAGAGUCGAAUAUCACGCAAUUUUCUUAGAUUAUCUUUUAUUAUAAUUAUUAUCAUUUUUUGUUAUUCAAAUAUUAGUGGAAGAGAGCUAGCUAAAGUCUAUACACUACUCUAAAGUAUAGACUUUAAUAUAUCUUAAAUUAUUAUGACAUAAUAUAUAUUUCAAUUAAAGGUAAAGUAUGAAUUAUCAAAUGGACAGAUAGAAGAAGAUAAAUAAUUAAAUUCAUCAUGAUUUCAACGAAAAGAAGUAUUCCAACUAAAUAAUAUUCUUUCUUAGGAAAUAAAAAGAAAAAGAUGAAGAUGCUUUUUCAAGAAGUGUAAUGGCAAGAGGAUGUGUCUUAUUCAUACUUUUACAAAGGAGAAUUUGAUUUAUGAAAUCUUAAAUUUAAAAAAAAAAGAUUUUUGAGUAAGUGUAAAUUUUCAGUAAUAGAUGAUUUUUUAUGUUAUUUGAAUGUUUGAUUUUUGUAUUUAAUUAGAGAAAAAAUUAAAUAACAUAAUAAAAGGUUUUUAUUAUAAUGACCUUAUUAUAACACAUGAUCAAUAUUUCAACUGCUCUUAUAUUAUUAAAAUUAAAUCUGUAACAAUCAUUAAAUAAUCAAAAUAUAAAAGAUUUUUUUUAUAAUGUUAAAAAUAAGCUAGUUUAUUACCAGCCAAGAAAAUAUAUUUUUUUCAAAAAUAUAUAUAUGAUAAAAUAAAAAACAUAAUGUCUAACCGAAACAAAAUACAAUUAAGCACACAAUCUUUAAUUGACGUUUUAAAAUAUAAUUUGUAAAAACUACGUUCUAAAAGUAUAAACGUAAUCUUUAAUUGAAAAAAAAUUACUAAAGAUUAUAUUUUUUAAAUUAGAUUAUCUUAGCUGAUAUGUAAUGAAACUCCACUAUUUGUAGUAAUUUACCAAAAUUAAAAUCUUAAAGUAAAAUUUUCUAUUAUUUUCUAAGAUAGAAUUGCUUGAUAAUUGAUAGUUGUACAUGAAGUUUUCACACAAAGAAGAAUUCCCCAACUCCAAAUCUCAAACCAUUUACUAUUUUUCCUUCUUAAAAUACAUGGACUCACGGUUUGGGGAAGGGAUUUUCAUGAAACCAUUGAGAUCGUAAAACCAAUGAAUGGUGAACUAAGUUAAUUCUUUCUUUUCUUAAUUUAUACAAAAUUAAUUUCAAAAAAUUAUUUCAUCCACUCUAAAUGGAACUCUGUUCUUUGCAAAGACAGAGACAGUUCUACUUAUGGUAGUCUGCUACUAAGCUAACUCCAUGGUUAACUAAUUAAAUAUUAAUUAUAGCCAGAUCUGCAUGCUUCAAGCUUAACUAGAACAAGACGUAGAAAAUAAUUUCAUCAACACAAAUUAAGAUUUAAUUAUUUCUAAUUAUUUCUAAUGAGAUUGAGAUAUGUGCUAUAUAUAUAUAUAUUCUCAUAUUAUCUAUGAAACCUAAUUUAAAGUAUCAAUUCCAAUUAUUUUAAUAAAAAAAUUCUUUCAUAAUUCUCUUUUAUCUAAUUUUUGAGUAUACACCUGAAAUCUUUGAAUUUGAAGUGCGAAAAUUUGUGAACAGCUCUUUGAAGUAAAUCUUCUAAUGUUUGUUAAAUUAGAAAGAUGAAAGAAUUAGUGAAAGACAAGGGCCCAAUCAUCCUUCUCUUUAUGGAGUUUCGCUUCACUUUUCUUUUCUUUUUUCCCUAAAUUAUUCAACCAUUAAAUAAUAGUGUAAUUCCAAGAGGGAUGGGUCUUAAAUAUGCAAAUUAGUUUGAUAAUUUGUGUAUUUAUAUUAUAUAAAAUAUUAAUAUUUAUAUAUUUAUAUUAUAUUUUAUAUAAAAAUUAUGUGUUGUAAUUCAUGUCAGAUACAAAAAUAUGAAAUAUAUUUUUUUAAUUUUAUUAAAUUCAUAUUUGAUUUUUGCUAAAAUUUUAAACUGUUUUAUUUUCAUAUUUUUUACUCGUAUCAUUUCAUAUUAUAUUAUUGUAUCGUAUUUUAAAUUAUUAAGUUUAAUAAAUUUUAAUUUAUUUUGACUUCUUUUUUAGAAUUAUUUUAUUUAUUUAUUUAUUUUUAUUCAUAGUUCUGUUCUUAUUCAAGGGAUUAGAUUGUAUGUCAAAUUAUGCCCCAUGAGAUGCAAGAUUUAAUGACCAAACAAAGAAAGAGUUCAUGAAUCAAAAUCUUUUUUUUCUCUUUCCUUUAUUUAUCCUAACAAAUAUAAAAAAAAAAAAACCUAAAAUUUCAGUAGCAUACAACAAAAUUUUUUUAUCAUAAUAAAUUUAGUACUUAAAUUUUUUAAAACUAAAAAUUUUAUAUUUACUCAUUUAGUAUUGAAUUUGCUCAAUUUAUCAAUGAUUACUUCAAUUAAAGUAUGAAAACAUUUCAUGCAAUUCUUGUGCAUAUUACCUUUAGCAUAUCUGGAAGUUUAUUUGGACUCUAAAAUAUUUUGAUAAAAGACUGAAAAUCUGAACAUCUAUGAGUUUUCAUUUUUUAGAUUAAUAUAUGCUUUAUUUAUGCUUGUUGCAGGACUCUCCUUUUGAUUGAAGUUGCUGAAAAUGCUGUGAAAAGGUCUACUCUUUUCACUUUUCUUACCAGUAAUUUAUGGAAUUUUUAUUUAUUAUCAUUGUAAAUUUUUGUUUCAAUGGUUUUUAUAAUGCUUUUAUUACUCUUCUGACUCAGAUGUUAGGCUUUUGUUGGGUUCUUUAUCCAACAUUUUUUCCCUUGGAUUUCCUCUAUGAUACUGUCAUUGUGCAUGUAUUGCAUGUUUACAAUUUGUUAUUAUUAUUGAAUAAAGGUUCUUUUUUAUUAUUAUUAUUUUGUAAUUGUGAUUUAGUUUUGUUAGUAAAUUAAUGUGUAGCUUGUCUCAUAGAUUGCAUGCAUGAUGAGUUUCUCUGUUUCAGUUGUAUAGAAAUAUUGCAUGAAGCUUUAUUAUUAUUAAUUUUAUAUGAAAUCAGUGUUCAUAAAUCCCAGAAAAGAAACAUGUUAAUGGGGGGGGGGGGGGUUUAUCUUUAGUCUUCAAUGAAUCCAAGGCUGGGGGGAGAUCUAUACGGUGUUAUUUUUAUCAAAAUUUGUCGUUUUAGUCGUGGAAAGUUUGAAUUGUUGGAACAAUUUUAAGAUUUUUUAUGGAAAUUCGAAGUGAUUCUUUCAUUAUUGGAAAAAAAAUUAGAGGCUAUUUUUUUUUCAUAGGAACAUAAACAGAUAGAUUUGUAUUGAAAUAUGUUCAGCCAUGAUUUCUUGGUUUUUAUUCCUAUUGUAAUUAGCUAAUUCAACCUGUUGGCCAUGAUUUUGGGUCAUGUUGCUUUGCUGGAUUUAUACAUGUUGAAUGAGUAUUAUUGAUGUCCACAUUACCUAUGUUUGAUAAGAAACAUGAUUGUGACUGCCCCAUUUUCUCCGGCAAUAGCUCGAUAGCUUCACUAAAUAAGAUACAUGAUUGUUGGCUGGGAUAUUCCUAAAGAGGAAGGGUGUUCAACAUGGCCUUAAUGACCUGCAGUGGUGUUGAGAAGUCAACAUUCUUGCUCGAUGAUUUAUGAAGUUGAAUAUUUGCCUUUUGAUAUGUUUGUUAAACACGGUUGUGCUUUCUACCAGCUUGGUUGUAUAGGUUAUAAUGUACCUACCCUUUUGUCUUCCAGGAAAGAAACAGUAUUAAGAUCUGUGGAAAAAGCAAUUUCUUUGCUACAAAUUUGUGAUGGAUCAAGACAAUGACCAAGAGAAUAAAUCUGAUGCAUCAGCAGAUGUUCCGCUGAAGUGCAGACGUGGUCGCCCGAUGAAACAUCUGAAACAUAAUCUAAAACAGAGGGAGAAUCCAAAUCUGAACUGUGCAGGGAAUACCCGUAUCCGACCUGGAUUUGAAGGGGUGAACGGAAAUCAACCCCGUCAAGCAAAUUCAAUCAAUGAUGCAAAUGAUAUAAUGAUGGGUCAUUCUGUUUAUAGUAUUAUUGAGGCAGCAUUUGUUGCAGGAUAUUUGCUCACUGUUAGGGUUGGCAACUCUGACACCACUUUAAGGGGUGUGGUUUUCAAGCCUGGCCAUUUUGUUCCUGUUUUAGCUGAGAAUGAUGUGGCACCAAAUGUUCAAAUGAUCAGAAGAAAUGAGAUUUCCUUCCCAAGGGAGAGGAAUGAGCAGCAUGUCAAUUCUCGUAGAAAUGGAUCUGCUCAUUCAUUCAAUGAACCAGCUGUUGUCAACCAGGUGCCUCCAGCCUGGUUUUCAAAUCUUGGAGGCUUAAAAAGCAAACAUGUCCAGUCGGUCUCAACACAAUCUGCUUCUCCACUAAUGACCAGAGGCAUUGUGGUGCCUGUUGUGCUCCAAACUGCUAAUUUAUCAAACCGUGAAUUAGUUUCCUACCAAUCAUCUCUGGUUGCAAGCCAACCAGCUUAUUUGGUGGCCUCUAAAGGCAAACAAGUGUCUGAAGCUGCUGAUACAUCAAAUGAGGUAAAACCCACCAACCAGAUGCCAACAGUUAGAAAUCAAAUAUUUUUUACUCAAUCUCUAAGUAGUAACCACAGCAUGCCAAAAGGCAUACAAAGUGAAACUGUUUUAUAUAAUUAACCCGCAACAGAGUUUUUGCUGGAGACAGAAGCCAUGUCAAUGACUGGCAUGGCUUUUGAGAAACUAUUAACUGUAGUCAUGAAAAGAACUCAAGUACCCCUACAAAACUUUAACCUGAGGAUCAAAACUGAUGCCAUUACUUGGAAUUAAAGCUUUUUUUUUUGUCACUUCACAGAUUUAUAGAAAUCUAUCUUCAUUUUACUUUAUGCUUUGUUAUCAUUUAGAGUCCAUUUAGGAGUCCGACUGGAGGGCUCCCCAUAGCGCAUUUUAUGGUUGGACACUUAGUAAACGGCCCUUAUUAAAUAUAUGUGGCUUCCUUAUAUUAAGAUCAUCUAAGCAUUGAGCACGAGACUUGUGAUGUUGUCAAUUAAGUGGAAACUAAAUGUCUUUAAUGGAAUACAAAAUCAUCAGUGGCUAUGGAGAACGUUUGCAAAUGAUUGUGAUGUCAAAAUCAUGAUGGGGGCUUUUUUCCGUACCCUAUUUGUUUUAGAACUCAGGUUAACUCUUGCACUGGGUUAAACCUUGAUAUAGAUUAGCCUCCAUUCUUCUACCAAUUCAUCAUUGAGAGUCUCACCUCGCUGUCACCACCUCGACAGCCUCUUCAUGAAGUACAAAUCUUCAAUAGAACGUUUAUUGAUUAAUUGACCGUAAAUUUGAACAUGAAGUUUAGUUUAGUUGGUUCAUGUAAUCGUUUUUAAAAAGUAACAUUCAACAAGUUUAAAAUUCGAAUAUUAAGCUAUUAGCACUUGUAACUUCUAUUCUUAAAUUAUGAUCUCAUUCGAUAAAUAAAUUUAUGAUUUGAGUUAAUUCUUCAUUCGUAAGGAACCUUAAGUUCUUUGGUAACCAAAAUUACAUAAAUUAGUUACCUUAUAAGGCUAUGCUGCUUGAUCUAUUGUAUCAAUAACCAAAUUGGUGAAAAAAAUAACAUACAAGCCAAUUUCACUUGCAUUGUUGAAUCACUUUAUGAUAGUUUAAAACUCUUAUAAUAUUGCUAAUGAUCUUAUCUUGGUUGCAAGAGGAGGUUCUUGAAAUAUUCAAAUCUCAAAGUUCAAGUUCUAUUAUUUUUAGAUUUGAUCUAAUUGUAUAUCCGAUUUGUUCGGUUUUAUGUUGAUUCACUAAUUUAUUAUAAUAAUUAUUAUUAUUGAAAAAGAAAGAAUUUGAAUCCCAUGUACCAUUCCUUGAGUUAUGUGCUCUCAAUUCGUGCAUAUUUGAUAAUUUAUGUAUUCGUAUCAUGUAAAAAAUUAAUAUUUUGUAUAUUCGUAUCAUAUUUACGUAAAAAUUAUAUAUUAUAAUCCAUGUGAACAUUGAAAAUAUAAAAUACAUUUUUUUAUUUUUGUUAAAGCAUAUAUAAUUUUUGUUAAAAUUUUAGUUCAGUAUCACAUUUGUUUUUUUGUUUUCCAAUAUAGAUCCAAAUUAAUUACUUGAACAAAAUAUCGAACCUAUAUAUAUGCAAAUAUUCCUUUAUCAUCGAAUUAAACCUAAGUAAGGUAAAUAACUUUCUUUUAAUUUCUGUCUAAAAAAUUUCUUUUAACUUCAUCAAUAACCUUAAACAUGGGUUUUCAUCUGUACCUGUACAAUUUGUGGUUUCUGGGUUUCCUUUAUCAUUAAACCAACAUGUGUUUGAUUUGGGUUAUAUUUUUAAUUUUCCUUUGUAAAUGUCAUGAAUUCAUCAUCAUUAUUGCAUGAUAUCUUUUGGUAUUAUUGUUGGGGAUGCUUCUACAAAAUUUGCCACAACUUAAAUAAAAAAUCUCCACAAAGUAUAUUGUAGGUAAAUUUGUGGUAUAAUUAACUUCAAAUUCAAUUAAUUCAUUAUAUUUUUAGAUACUGAUAUGGGUCUCGACACAUUUUGAACACUUUAAUGUUCAUAUUUGUAGGAUACUUUGAUUUUUAAAAUUAAUAUAAAAGAUUAUCAAAAACAAAAUUUAUUCAUGUUCGAUGUCCUAUCACACAAGUUCAUAUAACAUAAUGUAUAAAUAGCAUACCACUGAAUUAAUUAUUAAAUCACCACAACAAAAACAAGCAUGGAAGACCAUCUAUGACAUGCAAGUAGACAAAAAUAUGUACUACUCAUCCAUACAAGCUGCUAUAGGGAACUAAUAAGGAACCAGCAAACCAAUCUAAACAUAAAAAAUCAUGUUUCUUAAGAGUACAUGAAUUUUGCCAACAAUCCCUUGGCCAAGAUAUAAGAAAAGGAUUUAUGAGACAUGUAAGCUUGAGUUCGAGUUCAAAUAUACAAAAAAAAAAAAACGUGAAAUUUGUCUUAAAUGAAUGGCUAAACAUGGCUUUAUUUUACAAUAUCAAACAAGUAAAUGCAAUGCAACAUAGGGUAAACUAGUCCUUCACUGCAAAGUAAAGCUCAAAAAGUAGAGAAAGUAGAGAUCCAAUCAGUUGACGGCAUCAUAAAACAAAAAGCUCAAACGAUGAUAAGCACAAUUAAAUAUCAACCACCUAUCAUUGAGGCAAAAAAUUGAUAAGAAUUUAAAUAAGAAACUUGAUUAAGGAAAUUAUAAAUAUAUUGAUGGAGACGGAUUCAAGAUUUUUGUUAGGAAGUAUUUACUUACAAUAUAUAAAAUACUAUUGAUGAAUUUAUCAAUUUUAUCCAUGAAAAAGGUGUUAAGAAGAAAGUUUUGGACGUUCAUGAAAAUUUUUUCUUUAAAAUUUUUUUAUUUUCUAAAUUUUAAGAGUUUCCGGAAAAAAAUUUAAGGGUAUCAACACAGUUUUCCUUAAUUUUUUUUUUAAAUGGACACCCUGCAAUACCAUGUAAAUCCGCCUCUGUACAUGGGAAAAAGCAUAACCCCUCCAAUUCCUUCAACUUGUCCUCAAAUUCAUCAACUUCUGCUAAUUGGUUCCUAUCAAGCCAUUUAACAGUCUCAUUAAUGGCCUUCUUGAUCUUCUGCUUGUCUGCCGGGUCAAGUUUUCCAACAAACUUCUCAUCUUUCACGGUUUUCCUCGUAUUGUAUGCGUAGUUCUCAAGGGCAUUCUUGGCCUCCAGCUUUUUCACAUCCUCAUCCUCUACCUUGUAUCUCUUUGCCUCUUACACCAUUCUUUACUUGGUCAUUCCAAAAAAAAAAAAAAUUCUUGCUUUGACAAUUAAAACCUCAUUGUUUACAAAGUUAUCAACAAAAAGGAAUCAAUAUUUUAAAAGUAAUUUGUUAUUCAGUAUAUCAAAUUUGUUCUCUAUCUAUUUUUAUAGACCAUGAAAAGCAAUGGGAAAGUACCACUAGGCAAUCUUCCAUGGUGAAAUUACGAGACAAUUUUCAUGUACAAUGCUAAAAGUUAUCGAGCAGGAAAAGGACAAUUCUUUCUUCUUUUUAUUGGUAGGUAUAAUAAAACAUUUCCCAUUUGUAAGCUACGAAUGCAUUAUUGUUACUAAACUUGGUAACAAAAAACUCAUUUCACAAAGGUGAUAAGUUGCUUUUCAAAAAUUCUUAAAAAGUUUUGAACUCUGCAUAGUUCCAAUCUGAAUAUUUAUACACAAACUGAAUCAACAAAGAAACUUAAUAUUGUUAUCAUCUUAUUGCGCGCUUUAUAUUCUCAUAUUUACUUCUAGACAGGUCAUAACCAUCUAAAAAUUAAGGGUCCAGCCAGUCGAGUUUACUCAUAACUUGAUGCCUCAAUGGAGUUCCAAGAAGGAAAUAUAGUGCCAACCGGAAGUCAACAAGAAAAAAUUGCACAAAAACUGCCAAAGAGCAUAUUCUAAUAAAUAAGAGGAUAAAGAAUGAUUAUACCUUUCACAUAGCUGAAAGCUUUUACAAAGACCGCAAAACCAUCGCCAUCCGGAUAAUAUAGGUCUAUGGCAACAUAUGCAGACAAACUGCAAGUGGGCAAUGAUAGAGUCAUCCUUAAUAGGUAGAAUAUUUUGGCCCAGCUACCAAAAGAAACAAUGAAAUCAAAUAUUAAGUGACUAUCAUAGUUACAUAAAAAAGGAUUCAAUAAAUAACUAAACAGAUCUAAAAUAUCAUGCUUUCAUAAUUACAUCUACCGCAUGUAAUUCCUUUAUCUAAUUCCAGUGUGCUUAAAGGAAUAGUCAAAAAAAUAAAGCUCCUUCCAUAGCAUGAAGGGAAUCGGCCAAAGAAUGUGUCAAGAUAAGCUAACAAAAUAUCAACUAAUUGGUUCGUGAUGGUGGCAGUUAAGGGUCAAAAAACUAUAUGAAAGAGUGUAAAAUUUGGCAUGUCUCCUUCUGAAUGGGUAUCUACACCCCCACCUCAAACACCCCAAAAAAAGAAAAGUUAAACUGUAAAAUUUAAUCCAUUUCUUGGCGCAAAUAAUACCGACUACAAAAACUGAAAGAAAGUGAUCUAUCAAAUUCAUUCAUGCUUAGGCUUGAACAUUUAACUAUAAAAGCUACAGCUAACUCCACAAGGUUCAUCAAUUUAUCCAUGGUUUUAAAAUAAACUAUUUUUAAAGACCAUGGUUUUUAAAACUCAGAGGCUACAACGAAAGAAAAAAUAAACCUAAAUGGGCGGAAACUCAUACGCUAAGUUUUCAUUGAAGCAUUCUAUUGAACAAGUAACAAGCAUCAUAUAAAAUGCCUUAAUUAGAUGUGGCAAAAAAUUGCAGAAAGGAUGCAAAGUACCAACAGCAAAAACUAAAGAUCUAUUCAAUACCAGUGAAUCAGUUACUAUUAUAAAAAAUUGAACAUUAUAAAUAAAAGAAAAAAAAAACACUAAUGACUUAAAGUAAUGGUAGAGGAUUACAGAGAAUUAAUACAUGGCACGAGAAUGUGAGAAUAUGCAAUCAUUAAUCUAUUCAAUACCUUGAAGUAAUUCUCCACAAAAGUGGGAUUCCCAAGAGUUGAAUGCUGCUUAUAAUGUGAUUGCCAAACUAGCGGCUACUAACAGAAGUAGAGGUUGUACCGGGCAAGACUGAAGUCUGCUUCAGCAAUUUCCUAUUUCACUUUCUGAAGCUGCAGAAGGUGAAAUAAGAAAUUGUCAUCUCCGAAGGGCAUGGGCAUUUAAUCUGAAACAGAAGCAGAGAGGCUUAAAGAGAGAUAGCAAAAGUUUGGGAGUUGCAUGAUUAGAAAACUAAGAACAGAGUGAGAAUUGAGGGACUGUGAUAGAGAAAAGGUCUGAGAAGGAAGGUUGAGAGAGAGUUUCUAAGUCAAAAGUAUUGCCUAUAUACUUGUACAGCUUGAUUACAAAGGUUCCAACUAAUGGUAGAAAAUUUUUUUUCUAAACAGAAUUAUAAUUAGUAUAUAUGCAUCAAAUAAUCUGAAUAUCAUUUGAGGCUUGCUAACAGUAAAUUAAUCAAAAAAUUUGGGAUUAAGAUCAACUUUAUCACUAUAUUUUGACUUAAUAUUAAAUUUUGUCAUUAUACCAUCAAUUCGUUGAUUUUUGGACAACGUCCUCUUCAAUUUCUUCAGUUUGCCUGAUGGCUUCAUUGACAUCAUCUUGCAAACGCCCUUGUGCCACAGUCUCUUUCCUGAGGUCUUUAACAUUACUUAGACAAAAUUUUAAAAUUAAAAUAAAGAGUUAUUAUUAAUUUUUUUAUUAAGUAUGAUCGAUCACCUAAAUAAUAUUUUUUAAUAAAAUUUUAAUUUAAUUAAAACUCAUUAAAAAGAUUUUUUUUUUGUAAAAACACAUUUAAGUUCAGAAAUAUGGUUAUGUGUGGAGAAAUAUUAACACUCCACAAUACUCGUUAAAAAAUAGUACCAAUUAAUAACAUGUUAUCUUUUAUUAUUUAUAACAAAUUACCUUAAUUUUAAAAUUAAAAUUUUUUUUUUAAAUCCCAUUUAUUAUCAUAAAACUCCUUUUUUUGCCAUCCUUUAUAGAAUUAUUUUAAAACUUCUAAUUUAAUUAAAACAUAUUAAAAAAUCUUUUUGGUAUCAAAAACACAUUUAGAUUAAAUAGUACAAUUACGUAUGAGAAAUGAUUAAUACCUUACAAUACCUAUUAAAAAAUGAUACUAAUUAAUAACAUGUUAUCCUUUAUUAUUAAUAAAAAAUGACUUUAAUUUUAAAUUUCAAAAAUAAUUUCUUGAAUCCAUUUAUUAUAAUAAAACCCUUUGUUUCCAUCCAUUUUAGAAUCACUUUAUUUAGAAAUAAAAUGAAAAUUUUUGUUUUGAAUUUCUCAAUAUCUUGGUAAAAUUUAGAAAAAUAUUUUUCACUUGGUUAUUUUUAUGAUAAUCCUUAAAAUCAAAGAUAAUAUUUUUUUUCAUAAGGAAUAAUUAUUGAGAAUGCCUUCAAUAUUUAGGUAGGAUCUCAAGAAAUAUUUUAUUUAGGAUAUUAUCUUAUUUUAUUUAUAAAAACUAUUUUCUUUUUUAAAAUCAUCUGACUACUUUCUAUAUUUUUUGAGAAUAGCAAAAUGUAUGUUACGUAACAUAAAACAAAUUAAUGAUGAAAAAUAUAAACUAAAAGAUACAAAUAACCAAUUUAAUUCAACUUAUAAAUCUUUCACUUUAUCACUUUUUAUUUUUUCAUUGUCGUUUUUUUUUUAAAUAUUUAGUGAUAAAAUGAAAAUAUUUUUGUGUUUUUGGAAGUAACCUUUGUGCAUUAUCAACAUUAUAAUAUUUAUAAAUCCGAUAAUAUUAAAUUUUUAAAUUCAAUUCUCAUCAUAUAUGGAUUUCAUUUAUUUUUUUAUUAAAUUUAUUUAAUUAUGUGUCGAUUUAUUUGUUUGAUUUAAAUCAAAGAUUUUCUUAUAGGACUAUAAUACUUUCUGAUACUAUUAAGUUCAUAAAAAAUUUUAUAACUAAAAAAUUUCCCAAAAUUUCCAUUGGCAUGCAUUUUUUUUUUUUUUUUGGAAUUCUUGGACGCUUUGCAACGAGACUAGCAUUUUUUUUCUUUAUAAUAACUGGAAAAAGUCAUAUAAAAUCCAAAAUAGAAAUAAAGAGAAUAACUUUCUGGUUUUAAUUAGAAAUAUAAAACUAGAAAUUAAAAAUCCCCUCUCCCCAUGACUCAUAUACCAUAAUCACUGCUUAUGAUAAGCAUGGUUAAUGGAAUUUUUUUUAAUUAUAUUAAGAAAAAAUGAAAAUGAAAAGAAUAAAAAAAAAUAAGUAUGUAAGCGUUAAGCGGUUAGUUAUACAUUAUUGGCCUAAAAUACAAAUGGUUUGUAUUUUGAUUUUUUGUCUAUGGAAAUGCAUUUUUCAUAAUAAAUAAAUAAAUAAAUGUAGUAAUCAAAUAAUUCAAAAUUUAAAACUAGAGAAAAUGUUCACAUGUAUGCAAAUGCAUUUUCAUUAAUUAAUUUCAUUUCACGUUGUUUAAAAAAAUGAUAUUUAAUAUAUGGCUGGAUCAAGACAUGAGCAUAUGGAUGAAAUAUGGCCAAUCUUGAAUUAAUUAACAAAUCAAAGAAAAUGUAUUUACAUCGCUGACAUCAAUAAAAACUAAAUGAAAAUAUAAUAAAAAAGAAGGCCAAAACCUUUUGUCCUUUUUCAGAAUGAUGCACCUUCCAACAAUAUUUUAUCCCUUGGUCUAUGAGGAAAGUGAUGGCCUUGGAGUGCUAUGUUGUCUUCUUCCAAAUGAACCACCCAAAAAUUCCCAUUAAUUAGAUGAAUUAUAAAAAAUCUUAAAGAUCUCAGCAGAAUUUAAUAAAUUAUAUAACCUAAAAGUUGAACUACAUAAUAGUAUUUUUGCCAUUUACAUGUUUUGAUUUGGUUUAUAUUUUUAGUUUUCCUUUUUAAAUGUCAUGAAUUCAUCAUCAUUAUUGCAUGAUAUAUAUCUUUUGGUAUUAUUGUUGGGGCUGCUUCUGCAAAAUUUGCCACAACUUAAAGCAAAAAAUCUCCACAAAGUAUAUUGUAUGUAAAUUUGUGGUAUAAUUAACUUCAAAUUCAGUUUGAUUCAUUAUAUUUUAAGAUAUCGGUAUGGGUUUUGAUUUUUUUGAAUAUUUUACUGUUUAUAUGUAUAUAUAUAGGAUACUUUGAUUUUCAAAAUUAAUAUAAAAAAUUAUCAAAACAAAAUUUAUUCAUAUUUGACGAGUCCAUAUAACAUAGUGUAUAAAUAAUUUAUCAUUGAGUUAAUUAUCAAAUCACCACAAUAAAAACAAGCAUGGAAAACUAUCUAUGACAUGCAAGUAGACAUAACUAUGUAUUACUCAUCCAUAUCCAUUCAAGCUGCUACAAGGAACUAAAGAACCGGCAAACCAAACUGAACACAAAAAAAAUCAUGUUUCUUAAGAGUACUUGAAUUUUGCCACCAAUCUCUUGGCCAAGUGAUAAGAAGAGGAUUUAUGAAAUAUGUAAGCUUGAGUUCCAAUCCAAAUAUUAAAAAAAAAUACAUGAAGUUUUUCUUAAAUGAAUGGCUAAAUAUGGUUUUAUUUCACAAUAUCAAACAAACAAAUGCAAUGCAACAUAGAGUAAAUUACUUCUUCAUUGCAAAGUAAAGCUAAAAAAGCAGGCAUCAAAUUAGUUGAUGGCACCAUAAAAUAGAAAGCUCAAAUGAUGACAGAGCACAAUCAAGUAUCAACCACCUAUCACUGAGGCAAAGAAUCAAUAAGAAUUUAAACAAGAAACUUGAUUGAGGAAAUCAUAAAUACAUGAACAGUGAUUAAUUCAAGAUUUUUGUGGGGAAAUGUUCACUCAUAAUAUAUACUAUUGUUAUCCAUUUUAGUAUAACCAAAGUCUCAUGCUUUGUAAGUUAUAAACAACUUUCUCUUAAGAACACAAUGAUAUGUCACUCCUAUGUUAACCAUACACUCAAUGUCGAGAUUACCAAUAUAAUUACAAUUACCCUGUGUACAAAUUAAAAUAACUGAAUCACUGUCUAAAUUCACUACUGUAACAUUACCAUCAUCUAAAUUUUUGCUUUUAUCAUCUUUCCUCUCUUGCUUCAAGAUUUUGCAGUAUCACUUUAUAUGACCUACUUUACCACAAUAGAAGCACUUCACUUUAUCUGUGGACUUGAAUCUAUGUUUAGACUUAUUACGGCCUUUUGAGUUUUGAUUUUUGUCAAUAUUUCUACAUCUGUUUUCUAUGACAAAAGUUUGAUUCAAGGGUCUGAGUCCUUUUGCAUUGCUUCUUCAUUAAGCAUACUGUCUUUUAUCAUCUCCAAUGUCACAUUGUAAUUAGGAUCUGAAUUAAGAACAAUCAUAACUAGAGUAUUCCUGUUGUCUGGCUAUGAACCCAAAAGAAACAAUGCCUUUAUUUUAUCAUCCAUCUUAACCUCUAUGGUAGUCAUCUGAUUAAAUAUAUUUUGAAAAUCACUUAAGUACUCUGUAAUUUAUCGUUCAUCCUUUUAUUAUAAAGUUGCAAGCUUUUUAAUAUGCAUAAUUUUAUUCAUGCCUAUUUUUCUUUCAUACAACGCUGUUAAUUUUUUCAAACAGUGUGAGCAUAUUCUCCUGUGCUACAUAAUAGAACACGUUGAUAUCAACUCAUUUUUUUAUUGUGGCCAGUGCUUAACUUUUUUCAUCUUUCGUAGCUGUUAGUUUAGCCAGAUCACCUAAUAUCAACUCAUACAAAUCUUUGUAGUAUAAAUGAUUUUCCAAAUUGAAUAAUUUGAUAUUGUCAAUUUUAUCAUGGAAAUUGUAUCACCCUUUAUGAUCUCAAAUAGAAUUUACUUCCAUCCUAAGUUGCUUCUGUAUUGAUGUCUAAAAAAUAACCUUCGCUCUGAUAUCACUUGUUGGGCCUAAAGUGACAAACACAACAAUGCAAAAGCAAUAUAUCAUAAUAAACCCAUAGCAAUACACAAUAAUCAAUAAUCAACAAUACAAGGAAAAUAAAAGCAUAUCAAGAUUUAUAUGAAAAACCUUCUAGUGUAGAGGAAAACAAUCACAGAUCAUCAAAAAAAUCUUCACUAUCAAAUAAUAGAUAUACAAAGUUCUCCUCUAAUCAAAACUAGAACUAAUCAACAACUAAAAAGAUAAUUGAAAAAAUCUCAUCAAAUAGGUGACUCAAUAAAUACACCCUAGAUUUAAUCCUAGAAAAUUUCAAAUCCAACAUUCACCGUUCAGAACGUAAAACUCUAAAUCAUAAACUUGUUGACAAAAUUUUAGUUCAAUCAGACCACGAAUCAAUUUCUAUUCAAUCAACUCUCCCUUCUCUCUUUUCUCUCUAUUUUUUUUUUUUACUUUUCUUUUUUACUUAGUUUCGAUGCCACCACACAUUCUUUUCAAACCAAAAACUACCUCACUUUUAUAUGUAGGAUUUUAUUUCAUGGUCAAAGGCCACAAAACUUUAUGCCUUUUAAUUGGCUAAUCAAUUAGGGCUGGAUCCCACAUAUUCCUAACAUCAACUACAUUGAUCAUAUCACGAAAGUUGAUUCACAUGUUGAUUUUGUAAAAAUAAAUCCUACUAAUGUAUUAAAAUUUUAUUGAUUUGAAAAUAAAUUUAAGAAAAAUUUUCCUUGAAAUUAAAUUGUUUUGAAAAUGUUAGAAAAAAAAAGUUAAAAUAUCAAUUUUUUUAAAAUAAAAUUUUGAACGAUUAGAAAAAAUUUGAGAUAUCAAUUUUUUUUUUAAUUUUGAAAUUUAGAGAAACUUAAAAACAAUUUUCAAAACAAAAAUUGUUUUGAGAUAUUUUUUAGAUGUUUUUAAGACUUAAUGAAUAGAACAAAAUCAAUUGGUAUUAUUUUUUGAAUGGACGUUGUAAGAGUAUUAUAUUUUUUUUCCACAUAAUCGUACACUUGAAUCUAAUCUAGUUUCAUAGAAUAUAGUUUAUUCUUUUAAAAAACCUAAGUUGAGUUUAAAAAAUUUUUAAAAAGAAAUAAAUUUGAUUAAGUUAUCAAUCACUCUUAAAUAAAAAAUUAAUGACAAUUCUAUGAUUUUAUAUUUAAUAAUUAAAUUUACCUACUUAUACCUUAUAAUAAAUAUACCUAAAAAAAAUGAACUUUCAAGAUCCAAGAUGGAGUUUUUAUUUCCAUAAAAAAAGUUUUGGAAUUAAAAGAAAACUGAAGUAAAAAUCAACUUUGCUUCACAUGACACAAAUAAAGGGAAAUUCUGCUUAAAAUCAUGUGACCAAUUGAAACUACAAAGAAAUGUUGCAUCAAAAACUUCUUUAAUUUUUUGGAUUGUAAAUAUUAUCAUUUUCCUUGUUCAAAUCCUUCAUGGAAGACAACUAGACAAUGGCCCAGGCUUCUUAUCCUUUACUUGGGAGUUGGGAGCAAUGACUUUAAUUCACACGUAUAUUAUUAUUUUUUUGCACGUUAGAAAUUUUGAAGGAAACUGAUCUAUCAUUUAUCUGAAUUGCCAGAGUUAAUAAUUCACAGCUGUCAUUUGGUAGGACAUAGCAUCAUUGAUGCACUUUUGAGUUAUUGACCCUUUUUUUUUCAAUUAUUUUUCUGCAUUUUUAUAAUAUUUUUGGUUGGCCUUCGUAGAUAAAUCUAUUCAAGAAUAGAAUUAAAUUAUUAAUCUCUUUAUUUUUUAAUUUUUUCUGUAUUUUUAAAAAAAAUUUUUUUGGUUUUCAAGAAUGAAAUUAUUCAUUCACGUCUGAAAAUUAAUUCAAAAUUUAGAGGCAUUUAAGCAUAAAUAUUAAGUUUGCCAAAUGGAUCAAACUUAAAUUGAAGGUUCACUUAAAAAAUGGAUAAGCUUUGGGAAAAACAUUAAUGGUUUAAGCUUAACUUUAUAGUUUUUAUAUAUUAGUCCGAUUUGAUAGUUACUUAUAUAUAUUAUUUAUAAUUAAAUUAUAUAAAAAUAAAUAAAUAAAUAAUAUACAUGCAUAUUAAUUUUUUAUACCUACAUGUAUCGAUUUCAAUCAAAUAUUAAAUUAAAUUAAUAAAAUUAUUUUUAAAAUUUUAUUUUGUUAUAAUUAAUAUUUAUUAUAAAAUUUAUUUUUAUUUAAAAAAAUUAAAAUCAAAACCCAAUUUUUGAUCUGAGCUUAAUAAUUCUAACACUUAUUAUUAAUAUGUUUAAGCUCAAUCCUAAUUCGAUCUCAUCAUAAAAAUUUUUAUCAUAAAUAAACAUCCGUUACAUCACUUUAUUUUUUAGUAAUGUUAUAUAGUAAUUAAAUAUUCAUUUUAAUUAUAGUACAAGGACAAAUUUUAUAAUUCGACAUUUCCUUUUUGUAUAGGACUAAAUAUCAUUUCAUUAUAUCUGUAAGCACCACUAAAUUGUCACCUGCAAUUACAAUCUCAACUCUUAUUAAUAUAUCAAGUCAAAUGAAUGCGCAAGGUCAUAUCUAUUGGUAGAAAAGUUUUUCUAAACACAAUUAGUAUAUAUGCGUCAAAUAUUUCAUAAAUAAAUUUUUUUCUGUAUCUAAAUACCAUUUGAGGUUUGCUAAUAGUAAAUUUAUUAAAAACGUUGAGAUUAAAGUCAAAUUUGUCUGAAUAUUAUGGUUUAACACUUCCGCCCAAAAAUAAUUGUAUGUUAUUGAUUUCCGUUUAAAUUUAUUCAAUUUUGAUCUUCAUUUUUUAAAAUAUUAUAUUGAAUUAAAAUUUUAAAAAAUAUAUUUUGACAAUUUUGAAAUUCAAAAUUUACAAAUCUUAUUUUUAAAAUUUUUUUAAUUUUACAAUUUUAUAAAAAAUAAUAAUAAUAAAUGAGUUAAUUUAACGAAAAAAUCAAUUAGAGACGAUUAUUUGGAGAUGGAAGAAUAUUAAAAUUUAUCAUUACAAUUUUAGUUUGUUAAUUUUUAUACUAAAAAUAAUAGAAUUAAAAUAUUUACAAAAUAUUUCAUUAAUGCAAGUGAUAAAUAUUUUUUGAGUUCAAAGAAGUAAAAACCAACUUAGCUUCUAAUGAAAACAAGCUUCAACUAUCCACAAAUAUCGAAAAAUCUACUUGAAAUCUCAGUGACCAAUUGAAACUACAGAGAAAAGUUGCAUCAAAGACUUAUUUAUUUUCUUUAAUUUCUUUGGAGUCUCUUUUAUUAUGACUAUUACCAUCUUUCUUAUUCAAAUCCUUAGUGUAAUACAGCUAGAAAGGGCUUGCCAAACAUACUUCUUAGUCCUGGAAGCUUUAAGAUUAUCAAAUUUUAAAUCUUAAUUAUUAAAAUAAAAAAUUUAUCAUUCUAUCAAUAAAUCAUACUGUUGAUUGAUCCCUUUAUUUUUUUUCCCUCUUUUUUUUAUCAAAUUUUCUUUUGUAUUUGUUAUGAAACUCCACUGCUUAAGUGAUUUAUUAGAAUUAAAAUCUUAUAAUAAGAUUUUAUAUCUUUUAUAAGGUAACAAUUAUUUGAUAAUUAAUAGUUAUACAUAGAUUUUUCACACAAAUGCAGAAUUCCCCAUCUCAACUCUCUAACCAUUUACUCUUUUCCGUUCUUAAAAUACAUGGACUCAGUGUUAGGGAAUGGAAUUUUCAUGAAACCACUAAGAGUAAAACCAAUGAAUGAUGAAGGAGAUCUAACAUCCAUAAUGUAGGGAGAACCAUUACCUUCUCUUCCAUGGCACAACCUUCUUGAUCAUUACUUGCUCUAGUUCAGAAGCACCAUCUACCAUAUUUUUUCCAAGUAUGGUGGAGCAACACUAACUGGAAAGACACUUUUCAGCCAAUUGAACCUUCGGAUUUUGAUUUCAUGUAGUGAACAGAAGCAUAUAGGUUGAAAAUGACCUAUUGAUGAUGAUGAUGGCGGCGACCACGAUGAUGACAUUUUAUCUCUUCCAUUACUAUCAUCAUUGGCAACGAUUUGCUCCAAAUCCUCACAUUCCCAAACACUCAUAUACUUCAGUUUUGGCAGAUUUCAAGCAAGGGUGAGUGAGAAAACUUUUUCAAUCUCUUAAAAUUGGACGGCUGGAAAAUUUAGGAAUUGUUUCCCUUGUGUUUUAAAUUGAUUGCAAUUCUAGUUCUCUUUGAAGACUUUACUUCUUUAAAAACAAUAUUCCAUUUCAUUAGAUCUGUAAGCAACACUAAGUUGCCACCUGCAAUUACAAUCCCAACACUCCCAACCCUCACAUGCCACACCUAUCCUUUAAUUUUUUCUGUCAUUUUCUUUAGACAAAGAAAAGAAACAAGACCAAGUCAAACGUAUUGCCUAUAUACUUUACAGCUUGAUUACAAAGGUUCCAACUAAUGGUAGAAAAUUUUUUUCCUAAACAGAAUUAUAAUUAGUAUAUAUGCAUCAAAUACUCCGAAUAUCAUUUGAGGCUUGCUAACAGUAAAUUAAUCAAAAACUUUGGGAUUAAGAUCAAAUUUGUCACUACAUUUUGAUUUAAUACUAAAUUUUGUCACUAUACCAUCAAUUCGUUGAUUUUUGGACAACAUCCUCUUCAAUUUCUUCAGUUUGCCUGAUGGCUUCAUUGACAUCAUGUUGCAAACGCCCUUGUGCCACUGUCUCUUUCCUGAGGUCUUUAACAUUACUGGCAAAACAAAAAACAUAACUAAGAUGAGGAAUUGCUGGUGCCACCAGAAGCAGAGGCGGAUCCAUGCUUUGAAAUAGGGUGUCCAUGGAUUGGAAAACAAGAUUGCUUGACAGAAAAACAUUUCUUGCACACCUCCAAAUUUUUCUGUGGCCACCUUUUCAAUCAGCAAAAUAGAUAAAUCCAUAAUUUAUAUAUAUAUAUAUAUAUAUUAUAAGUGGACACUCUCGAAAAAAAAAAUUUGGAUUCACCACAAAUGUCACAGAUAGACCAGUAUUAGCCAUGCCUGAGAAUAUGAAAUUUAGAAGACAUGCUGAGUUAGUACAUGGAAUAUCAUUGACAAAUCAAUAAUUGAAGGAGAACCUCUGAAACUUCUCUGAGCACCUGAACUCUUAGCAGUUCCUAUCUGAAACUGCCCACAACAGGUGAACAAGUCACCGAUAAAUCAACUUGAUAUCUAGAGGGGGAAAGAAAACAGAGCCUUCAUAUUUAACCACUAUUUCUGUAUCUGCAAUAGAAUUAAGACAGAACCAUGUAGUUAGACAAAAUCAUAGUUUUUACAGAAAGCUCAAUUAACAUAGAACCAUAGUUUUUUAGAAAGCUCUCAGCAAAAUCAUUUCUUCCCUAGUUCCUACAUGUUAUUAUCCUUUGACCAGAACUCACAAUUGAUGCCCCUUUUACAAAAACUUUUGAAUUUUAAAAUGGAAAAUAGAGGGAAAAUGGUUUUCUCAAACAAUGAUAUACAGAAAUCAACAUCUACCCUUUGCAGAAACUGUCAUAACGUCUAGAUCCGGGGAUCUAUCGCUAGACAUUGACUUGAAGGAGUCGCCACCAAUCUUUUUUAUCUAUGCACGAUUGGCCACCUAAAGAAUCUAUCCUUUCAGGGAACACCUAAGUUUAAGGGUCCCUAAAAGAAUAGGUUUGGGUCUACUAACCAAAACAGGGUUCGGGAGUUCGGUUACGCGUGAGGAAGGUUAUAGCACCCUCACAACACCCAUCGAAAGAUGAUACCAGCUUAAUUUUGCGUUAUCAAAUAAACCUUAAAAAUUUACCAAGUAAUUAGUUGUUGGAAAUUAUUCUCAAUUGACUCUAAUACUUUAAGCAGAAAAUUGAGAAAAUCCCCUCACCUCAAGAGUAUGCAAGAAAACUACUGUUUCACUUGCAAAGGCUUCAUCGUCGGAUUAUUUAAAAAGAAAAUAAAAAGGAAGAAGAAAAAAAUGACUGCCUUUGUGCAGGAAAAAUUAAUACUUUCAACUUUUCCCCAAAAUAUUUUUUAGAAAUUUUAAUUUUGAGGAAAAUUGAUACUUUUAACUUUUCCUCAAAAACCGUUUUUGAAAAUUUAUUUUUAAGGAAAAUUGAUACUUUCUUUCAACUUUUCCCCAAAAAUAUUUUUUGGAAAACUUUAAUUUCGAGGAAAAUUGAUACUUUCAACUUUUCUUCAAAAAAAACCUUUUUUGAAAAUUUAUUUUUAAGAAAAAUUCAUACUUUAACUUUUCCCCAAAAAAUGUUUUUUUGAAAACUUUAAUUUUGAGGAAAAUUGAUACUUUCAACUUUUCCUCAAAAAAAACCGUUUUUGAAAAUUUAUUUUUAAGGAAAAUUGAUACUUUCAACUUUUCCUCAAAAACCUUUUUUUGAAAACUUAUAUUUAAGAAAAAUUGAUACUUUCAACUUUUCCCUAAAAAUAUUUUUUGGAAAGCUUAUUUUCAAGGAAAAUUGAUACUUUCAACUUUUCCCCCAAAAUAUUUUUUUUGGAUUUUAUUUAAAGAAAAUAAAAUAAUAAAAUAAAAUCAAAGUGAAAAAAAAAAUAAAGAAAAGUAAAAUAAAAAUAAAAAUAAAAUAAAGAUAAAAAUAAAAGAAUAUUAACCAAAUCUAAUAAUAAUAAUAAUAAUAAUAAUAAUAAUAAUAAUAAAUAUAUAAAUAUAUAAAAAAAAAAAACCUGGAACGGCUCGGCUAACGGCUUGGCUCGGCUCGGUUUAAGGAAAAAAAAUAGCUUGGAGAUGUGGCUCGGCUCGGCUCAGCUCGAGAAAUGGCUUGCACUCGGGUUGAACGCGAGUCGAAAGUGGGUCGACACUUAGGUCGGGUUGGAUCUUGGCAAAACGCGCGGAUCCUCUGGGUUACUUAACGCAGAAACAGCGUCGUUUUGGGGAGGGUAUAUAAGGCUGAAGGUCGAUUUUUUUCUCAGAAUUCCUUCUCCUCUUCUCUCUCUUCCCUUCUUUCUUCUCUCUUUCUCUCUAAAACCCGAAGAACUUCGGUUAGAUAUUCAUCGAAUUCUAAAAAUUUUUGUCAGAAUCUGGGUUUUUCGUCAGAAGUUCAUUGAAAAGUUAGUCGGUUUCUGGAAAUUCUUGUCGAAAAUUGGGCAGUUGGUCAAAAAUUUAAACUUGGCCGGAAUAGUCACCAAAAAAUUCAACCUUCGCCGAAAAAUUCAACCAGAAUCUAAAAAUUUUCCAAAAAUUUCUAGAAAAAAAAAUUUGCAAAAAAUUCUCCAAAAUUUCCCACCAAUUCCUAGAGCUAUUCUAACGCCUCUAAACCUUUUUUCAGCUUUUAAACCUUAUCUGUGUGUCCUUCUUCUCUUUGUUCCAGUACCUAUUUAUAGGGAUUGAUCAGAAGAGUUUCUGAUCAAUCCUUAUUUCCCUUGGGAUUUGGAUUCAAUCUUUGAAUCCAAUCCCAACUCUGCCAGCCCCAAAUUCAUGCCAGAAUCUCAGCUGUUCCUAAUCCUAAACCUAAUCGGAUAAUCAAACAAAUUGACGAAAGAAAAGAAAAAAAAUAAAUAAAUAAUAUAAAAAAGAUAAUAUAUUAAUUAAUAGACAAACAAUAAUUAACAGAUAAAUAAUAACAUAUAAAUAUAUAAAUAAAUAUAUUAAUAUAUUAACAGAUAAAAACAUACAUUAAUAAUAGUAAUAAUAAAUAAAUAAAAUGAUAAAUACAUAAAAGAUAAAGAAAAGAAAAAAUAUAUAAUAUAAAAUAAAUAUAAAAUACAAAAUAAAAAAAAAAAUAAAGUGGACCAACCCAUUGGGACCAAGCCCAAUUGAUCCGGGCCUAGACCAAAUUGGGUGUCUACACCUGCCCCUCUUUGCACAUUUUUCUGUGAAAUAAAAAUUGCACAAAGACGUAGACACCCAUUCAAGACUCAACUCGACCCCUUUUUUUCUUUCAUUUUUUUUUAUGUUUAAGAUUUGAUCAAGGCUCCUCUAAGUAGAGGCUUAACGACUUUGAAAAACAUAAACAAUGCUCCUCUAAUUAGAGGCUCAACGACUUUGAAAAUGAAUAAAGCUCCUCUAAUCAGAGGCUCAACGACUUUGAAAAAUAAAUAAAGCUCCUCUAAUCAGAGGCUCAACGACUUUGGAUUGGAAAAUAACUGGCUCCUCUAACCAGAGGCUCUACGACUUUUGAAAAUAAAUGGCUCUUCUAAUCCGAGGCUCAACGACUUUUGAAAAAUAAAAGGCUCCUCUAAUCAAAGGCUCAACGACUUUGAAAAAUAAAUAAAUUCUCUAAGUAGAAGCACCAUGACUUCAAAAAUAAAUGCUCCUCUAAACAAAGGCACCAUAACUUUGAAAAGUAAAUUGCUCAUCUAAAUAGAGGCACCAUGACUUUGGAAAAAUAAAUGGCUCAUUAACAAUCAUGUCCAAAGGAGUUAUAGAUCGUGAUUGAAGAAAUUUUGUAAUGGGAACUCAAAGAUUCACAAUUUGAGUUCAACAUUCAUAGGUUCAGAUUCGCAAGAACCUUCUAACUUCGUAAGAAUUUACUGAAAUUUGAUUCUCAAAAUUUUAGUUUUGUUCAAAUUUGCAAGAUCUCAAGAUUUGCAUUUGUAACUUGCAAGACUCGUUUCAAAGAUCCUCAUUGGAAUUUUGGAGGCUCACAUCCAAAAGUUCAAGGCUUUUUAAAGGUUCGCAUUUGGCAAGCUUGGGAUUCACAUCCAAAAAUUCAAAGCUUCUCAUUUGAGUUCAAAGGCUCAGCAAUAAAACUUAGAGUUUCACAUCUAAGUUCAAAGGUUCUCAUCUAAAAAAUUUAGAGAUUCAUAUCCAAAAAGUUGAAGCUUUGUAUCUUGGAGAUUCACAUCCAAAAGUUUAAAACUUUUCAUUCUAGUUCGAAGAUUCACAUUCGACAAACUUUAGGGUUUCACUUCUCGAAGAUUCUCAUUUUGAAACUCAAAGAUUCUCAUUUGAGUUUUCAAAAAUUCUCAUCAAAAUAUUCAUAAUUUUUUUCAAGUGACUCAAAAAUUUGCAUAAAUGAAUGUUAUGACCAAAGAUGUAAAUGCCUUCUUCAUGAUGCAAAUACGGCAACCUAUAUUCUCAUAGUGCCAUGCAUGUCCCAACAAAGUUUAAUUCAUCAAAUUAUGUGCAUGUACUAUUCAAGUGACGAUGUCACUAUGAUGCAUGUAAUGCAGACGUCUAUGUAACAAAAUUCUAAAUAAUUGUGGUGAUAUGGCUCUCAAAACUCCACCAUUCCGCAUGUCUUCCUUGUUUAAUUUCUCAAUACUUCGAAACAAGUUUCAUCAAUCGAUCAUCACUUAACCACCAUUCAUGGACUUUUCAGCACUAACAAAUUUCAGAACAAGUUUCAUCCACCAUCACUGAGUCAUUACUCAUAGGCGUCUCAGCAUUAACCAUUUAGAACUAGGUCACACUCAUAGGUUUCUCAACCCUAACCAUUCCAAAACAAACUUUAACCACUGAUUAUUUUCAUCAUUCAAUCAUAACCUGUAAGUCAUGUCGACCAAUUCAUCCUUGUACUCAUCACUUGAUCAUCAUUCAUAAGCUUCUUAGCACCAGUUUCGUCUAUUGUUCCAUAUCAUUUUCAUCACUUAACCAUAACUCAUAGGUUAUAUCAACUAAUACAUCCUCAUAUUCAUCACUUGAUUAUACCACUUUUCAAGAUUUGCCCCAUUUUCAUUUUAUUGUCCAAUCCAUCAUCAUAUUCUUCAUUUGGUCACAUCAUAUGUCCUUUCAAAUUAUCUCUUUUAGGUUUCUACCAUUUCUUCAUUUUGUUACCACCAUAAUCUUAGAUUUUUUUUUGAAAUGAAUGCAAGACUCUUUUAAGCACAUAUUCAUUCAUUCAUUAUCAUUUCAAUUCUUGACAAAUAUAAUGCAAUCAAGUAUUUUCUCAAUUCAUUCUAGAGGUGUAACAAAUAAGAGAACACAAGGUGAAUUAUGGUAAAGAUAAUCAAUGAAGAUCUAUUUUGGUAGAAAACAAAUGGGAAAGGAAAUAAAUAGGAUACAUGUCAUUGGGCUGAAUGGUAUGUCCAAACGAUGAAUAUUCAAACAAUUCUCAACAUUAAUCUAGGAUUCUUUUUUAAAAACUCAUUCCAUUUACUGUUGAAGUCAUUUUGAGCUUGGCCAACUUUACCCCGUCUUUGAGGGAUCUUCAGAUAUCUUUGAUCUUCCAUCUAUGUGAACCAUUUGACCUAGAUCUGUUUCUACCAAAAUCACCAUUUCAGGUUUUCAAUUUGAAUCUUUUUUUUAUUUUCUCAUUUUUUCUUCUUUCUUUCUUUUUUUUCUCUAUUUUUUCUUUUUUUUAUCAUCUUUCUUUCUUUUUUCUCAUUUUUCAUCCAUUGUUGAUAUCUUUCACCCAUCAAACUUUAAGGCAAUGUAGCAUGAUUUCAUUAUUUCAUCAAGAGCAUGCCUUUGCCCAACAUAUAAUCAUUCAAGUUGAGCAUUCACACUUGAUCCAAAUAGGCUUUUCAAUGUUGUAAUGUAGGUCAAGGUAAGGGGUCAUAAAAGAAAUGGAUAUAAUAGGCUCAAAACAUAUAUUAAAAAGGUUCAAGACCAAAGGAUCAUUUGGUGUAACUUGGCAUUUUGCUCCCACAUCACUACUUUUCUUUUUCUCACACAAAGGAUUCUCAUUAUUUUACCCCAAAUCAUUUGUGGCGUUUAUUUUGUCUUUUGCUUUUCUUUCUCUUUCCAUCUUUGAGACCUCUUGUGAUAUUUUUUUUUAAAAAUUACCCUCCAGUGUAGAGGGUGAUAUUUGGUUAGGGUUCUUUAGAAAAGAAAUCAUAAUAGGCUCAAAAUGGUAGCAAUGAAUGGUUUUUCGAAUGGUCAAAGAAAUAUGGUCAUUUUUCAUUUCAAUUGUGAAUACUUUUCUUGAACAUCAUCUAUUGAACAAAACUCAUGAACCUGUACGAAAGAUUGCACAUCUUCAAGAUAUAUCUAUUUCACCUCUGGUAACAGCUUACUUUUUUGCUCAAAUCAUCUCUUUAUAUUAAUGUGGAUGAGUUCUCAAAAUUAAAUUCCAGAAUUAUUGUUAUCAUUGUCUUAAAUAUUCAUCAUUUGAAAUUUGAGAAUGAGAAUGUAAAGUUAUGAAAGGUAACAGAGCGUGGAAUAAUAGUCGAGUGAAAGAGAAAAUGUAAUGAAAUGCAUUAAGUUGCCUUUAUUAAAAUGAUAACAAGUGAAAUCAUAUUGCAAAAAAAAAUCUAACAUUACUAGAAAAGAAAUCCAAAAAUGAAAAAAAAAAACCUUCAACCAGCCUCAUCUCCAUUCUUCAAAAUUGUCCCCAUAUGUGAUCAGGUGAAGAAUCUCUAUUGACAUCUUACCCUUCAAUUCAUUGUGACUCUUUGAACCCUUUCUAACCAAUGUAUUCUUGACUUUCACUCAGAGUACUAACAUUAGGUGUUGUUGCUUUUCUUUGAUCAAAACUUACCAUUCUAUCAUUGAUCAACCGUUGCACCUUAUGCUUUAAAGCAGUGUAAUUUUUAGUAGAAUGGCUAGUAAUUCCAUAGUGGUAGUCGCAGUAGGCUGUAGGAUCAUACCACUUAGGAUAGAGUGGCUUAAGUGGCUCCACAUGGCUGGGGGCAAUCAAAUGGCUAUUAUAGAGUUAUCGAUAUAACUCCGUAUAAGUCAUGGGGAUUGGAUCAAAUACAAGCUUUUUUUGAGUAAUCUGUUGCUCUCGUGAACCACUUACUGGGUUAGUAGGAUGAAUUUGGGCUCUUGUAGGAGCUUGAAUGUUAUAUGUAAGAUCUUGAGGGCUAAAAAUUGAUCGGUAUGUAGAUGAAUAAGGUAGCUGUGAAACUAGCUAGUAUGGGUAGGAUGAGGCAUUAUUCACAGCAAGAUAGUACAGAGAGUAACCUUGGGGUGGAUAGGGUUGAUAACCCCUGAAUUAUUGUCUAUCAAAGCUCACAGCUUGAGUUUCAAUUUCUUUCUUCUGAUGCCUUCUUGGUUUCUCUUCCUUUUAACUUGUCAUUUUUUAUGGCACUUUCAAUAAUUUCUCUAGAGAUCACCAUGUCGGUGAAAUUCUUUGUUACAUUCCCUAUUAUCUUUUUAUAAUAGGAAGAUUUCAAAGUGCUGACAAAUAACACUGUAGUUUCUUUCUCAGUCAGAGGAGGCUGUACUUGAGAAGUAAUAUCCAUCCACCUUUGGGCAUACUCUUUAAAAGUCUCAUUAGCCUUUUUUUUCAGAUUUUGUAAAGACAAACGAUCAGGGGCCAAAUCCAUGAUAUGUCGAUAUUGACUGAUAAAAUCAUGGGUCAUGUCACUUCAGGAACGGAUGCAUGUUCUGUCUAACUGGAUAUACCACCUAACAGCAGAACCAGUAAGACUAUCUUGGAAAACAUGCAUUAGUAGCUUUUCGUCAUGAGCAUGGGAUACCAUCUUUCGACAAUACAUGGUAAUAUGAGUUUUUGGGCAUUUUAUACCAUCAUAUUUUUCAAAUUCUAGUACUUUGAACUUAGGAGGAAUGACCACAUCAGGAACUAAGCAAAGCCCAUCAGCAUCAACUGAACCAUAGAAACCAAUUUCUUUCACAGUCCGUAGCUUUUGUUGUAGCAUACUAAUUUUAAAGUUUUCUUGAGCUUUCACUUUUAUCUUUUCCUUGUCUUAUCCUUUCAGUUCAUCCAGAUCAGAGAUUUGAAUUGGUUCAACUGUCUUUUCAGUAAAGACAGGAUUCAUAUAGCUAUGAUAAUACCUUAGAUUAGAAGCUAAUGGCAUUCUAGGAUAUAUAGGAUAUGUGUAGUGUUGUGGUGGAACCUCUUGUGUAGACUGGGCUUGAAGUGGACCAAAACCAGGUGGAUAUAGGGGGUCAGUCACUUCUUGUGAUACAGGACCUUGUUGGCUUAUGUCCUCUUCUACUCUUUUCCCCUUAUUUAAUUUGUUGAGAGUAUCCAAAUUUUUACUUAACUCAUUCUCAAUCUUUUCCUGAGCUUUUUCUAAUUUUUCAAAUCUAUGAGAGUUUUUCUACUCCAUUUGUCUAGCUCUGACUCUUGUGUUAUAUCGAUGGGUGGGUUGCUUGGUGGGGUUAUCCUUGAACCUUUAGCACCAUAAUUAUGAUUAGAAAUGCUAUGCUAUGCUUCAUGUAUGAUACGUUGAUGCACGAAUGAAAUGUACAUUUUUAUGGAUAAAAUCUAAUAUGAAAUGGAUACAAAUAAUAAUGUUAAAACAUGAUCAUGCAGAUGCAUAAAAUCAGACAAACAACAUGGUUAGUUUUAUAGAUGAAAUGAAAGUGAUGCCGAUGCAUAAUGUUACAUAUGAUAAUGAAAAUGAUGCACAAAGUUAGACAAUCAAAAUGAUUAGGUAAACACCUUUUUUGUGUCCUAGUUUCAGGGUAUAUCUAUCAUUGGAUAGAAAUGGCUCUAUCUUAGGGUUAGGCACUUCUAAGGUUCACUAUAUGUGAUUCAAGGCUAAAGUCUAAAGGUUUUCAAAUUGCUCCUUACAUCAUUGUCCAUCACAGACUAGUAAGGCACCCUAAUCCUCACCCAUUACAGGCUACAAGUGGAAAAGGUUCAAUUUGAAUGGGAGUAUUUCGCUAGCCACUACGGAGGCAUUAAACCUCACGAAAGCAAUAGGUACUUUACUCUAUCCUAGAGGGAUAAAGCUCGGGUAUAGAACUCAUGUUAUGCAUAUGCAUAUGAAUGACAUACUUAAUAAAGUAAAUAAACAUGAAUGAAUAAAAAAAUCUAUACAAAAGGUUCAAUUUUAUUAGGCUCUUGGAUAACACAAAUUUAUUUGCUGGCCUAACUCUCAGAGUUCUCCAACAGAGUCGUCAAGCUGUCAUAAUAUCUAGAUCCAAGGAUCUAUCGCUAGACAUUGACUUGAAGGAGUCGCCACCAAUCUUUUUUAUCUAGGUGCGAUUGGCCACCUAAGGAAUCUAUCCUUUCAGGGAACACCUAAGUUUAAGGGUCCCUUAAAGAAUAGGUUCGAGUCUACUAACCAGAACAGGGUUCGGGAGUUCGAUUACAUAUGAGGAAGGUUAUAGCACCCUCACAAUGCCCAUCGAAAGAUGGUACCAGCUUAAUUUUACGUUAUCCAAUAAACCUUAAAAAUUUAUCAAGUAAUUAGUUGUUAAAAAUUAUUCUCAAUUGACUCUAAUACUUUUAGCAAAAAAUUGAGAAAAUUCCCUCACCUCAAGAGUAUGCAAGAAAACUACUGUUUCACUUGCAGAGGCUCCAUCGUCGAAUUAUUUAAAAAGAAAAUAAAAAGGAAGAAGAAAAAAAUGACUAUUUUUGUGCAGGAAAAAUUGAUACUUUCAACUUUUCCCCAAAAUAUUUUUUAGAAAUUUAAUUUCGAGGAAAAUUGAUACUUUCAACUUUUUCCCAAAAUAUUUUUGGAAACUUUAAUUUUGAAGAAAAUUGAUACUUUCAACUUUUCCUCAAAAACCUUUUUUGAAAAUUUAUUUUUAAGGAAAAUUGAUGCUUUCAACUUUUCCUUAAAAAAAACUUUUUUGAAAAUUUAUUUUUAAGGAAAAUUGAUACUUUCAACUUUUUCCCAAAAAUAUUUUUUUGGAAACUUUAAUUUCGAGGAAAAUUGAUACUUUCAACUUUUCCCUAAAAAUAUUUUUUAGAAAGUUUAUUUUCAAGGAAAAUUGAUACUUUCAACUUUUCCUCAAAAAACCUUUUUUGAAAACUUAUUUUUAAGGAAAAUUGAUACUUUCAACUUUUCCCCAAAAAUAUUUUUUUUGGAUUUUAUUUAAAAAAAAUAAAAUAAUAAAAUAAAAUAAAAGUGAAAAUAAAAAUAAAGAAAAGUAAAAUAAAAAUAAAAUAAAGAUAAAAAUAAAAGAAUAUUAAACAAAUCUCAUCUAAUAAUAAUAAUAAUAAUAAUAAUAAUAAUAAAAUAUAUAAAUAUAUAAAAAAAAUGAAAAAAAAAACCUUGGAACGGUUCGGCUAACGGCUUGGCUUGGCUCGACUUGAGGAAGAAAAGUGGCUCGGAGACGCGGCUCGACUAGGCUUGACUCGGCUCGGCUCGAGAAAUGGCUCGUACUCGGGUUGAACACUGGUUGAAAGUGGGUCAGCGCUUGGGUCGGGUCGGAUCUUGGUAAAAUGCGCGAAUCCUCUAAGUUACUUAACGCAGAAACGACGUCGUUUUGGAAGGGUAUAUAAGGCUGAAGGUCAAUUUUUUUCUCAGAAUCCCUUCUCCUUUUCUCUCCCUUCCCUUCUUUUUUCUCUCCCUUCUCUCUAAAACCCGAAGAACUUUGGUUGAAUAUUCACCGGAUUCUGGAAAAUUUCAUUAGAAUCUGGAUUUUUCGUCAAAAGUUCAUGGAAAAGUUGGUCGGUUUCUGAAAAUUCUUGUCGAAAACUGGGCAGGUAGCCGAAAAAUUCAAACUUGGCCAGAAUAGUCGUCGAAAAAUUCAACCUUCGCCCGAAAAAUUCAACCGAAAUCUGAAAAUAUUCCAGAAAUUUCCAAAAAAAAAUUUGCAAAAAAUUCUCCAAAAAUUUUUCACCAAUUCCUAGAGCUAUUCUAACGCCUCUAAACCUUUUUCCAGUUUUUAAACCUUCUCUGUGUGUCUUUCUUCUCUCUGUUCCAGUACCUAUUUAUAGGGAUUGAUCAGAAGAGUUUCUGAUCAAUCUUAAUUUCCCUUGGGAUUUAGAUUCAAUCUUUAAAUCCAAUCCCAACUCUGCCAGCUCCAAAUUCAUGCCAGAAUCUCAGCUGUUCCUAAUCCUAAUCCUAAUCGGAUAAUCAAAAAAAUUGAAGGAAGAAAAGAAAAAAUAAAUAAAUAAAUAAUAUAAAAAAGAUAAUAUAUUAAUUAAUAGAUAAAAAAUAAUUAACAGAUAAAUAAUAACAUAUAAAUAGAUAAAUAAAUAUAUAAAUAUAUUAACAGAUAAAAACAUACAUUAAUAAAUAGUAAUAAUAAAUAAAUAAAAUGAUAAAUACAUAAAAGAUAAAGAAAAGAAAAAAUAUAUAUAUAAUAUAAAAUACAAAAUAAAAAAACAAAGUAAUCUGAAAAGAUGAAGCAAAUUUUUGGAGCAUCCUUCGAGUUUUUGUCUAUUUUGUGAGCUUUAAACAGCCUUUACCACCAAUAAAAAUAGUUACAUAUGGAUCCAUUCAUUGAUGAAUGAGAAACAAACUAAUUUUCAGAUUAAAAAGAAAUGAUCUUAGUGGAGGUAAGUUAGCCAAAAUCAACACAAAAGUCAUAUUAGGAGAUAAGCAAUACUGAAGUUGAUCAUAGCAAUGCUUCGUUUCAUGUUGAAUAACAUAUUAAAUAAUAAUUUUAUUAGUAUAUAAUUAAAUAAAUAGUAAAUUAUAUAUUUUAUACUAGCUUUAGGCGAGUAGAGGCAGAGCAUUCUAAAUCUGUCUCCGUUUCCAACUCCAAUUAAAAAAAUCCACUCUUAUCAAAUUGUAACAGAUCGAAAUUUGUUGAUGGCUUGUUUUAUCAACUCAAAUUAUAUAGUCUUAAAAUUUUUAUAUUGCAAAAAAAUGAUGUGUAUUUAAUAUUUUCUAGUUAAUUAUUUAUUGGAUUGAUAUCAAUAAAUGAAAAAAAAAAAACCUUGCAAACUAUAUCUCCUAAUGGAUUUUUUAUUUCAAAAACUAAAUACAAUUGUAUAAUUAGUUUAUAUCUAUGGAGAGGGAUUCACUUACAUUAUUAUAAGUGUUACGUACGAUUUUUUAAUCCUUAUGUUAUAUAUUUUAAAUAUAUUUAAUUUUGAUAGAAAGAUAAAAGAAAAAUAUAAAACUUACUUAUAUCUACUCUCUAUCAAAACAGAAAAAUUCAUUUGUGGGGUUUCCUUUUCUAUUUUCCCCUCUUUUAAAAUGGUUGUGAAUCUUGUAUAAUAGAGUCCAAUAAUAGCCUAUCCCUCUUAUCGUUGAAAAAAAUAUAAAUUUCAUGGUCCUGCAUGGGCCCUUUUUCUGGUAAUGUAGAUUUUUUUUUUUGGUAUGAGUGUUCAAUAAUAUUAGAAUAUUUAUGGUACGAUGAAAUGGAAAUUUGUCAAAAUAAGCUUCCCCCCCCCCCCCCCCCCCCCCUUCUUUAAAGACUCAUAGGAAAGAGAUAAUUUAUCUUAUUAUUUCAAUCAAUAUAAAAGAUAUACAUACUAAUUACUUUUGUUAGAAUGUGACCUAUUUAUAAAUUUAAAAAAUGGCUUAUUCUAAAUUCUAAUUCUAAACCCCUUAAAGUCAAUUAACAAAACACUUAUAAGAUCAACAACAAAAUAAAGUUUCUAAAAAGUUGAGAAAAAAUAAUAUAGAAAGAUAAUUAAAGAAUUCAUUUUUAUACAUUGACACUGAAAUAUUUUAAUUCCACAAAAGAAGUUAACACAUUUUUCAUUUUUUUAUUUUUUAUUAUAUUUUAAAAUAAACUUGAUAAUUUUAAAUACGAUGCAAUUACACAAUAUAAAAAUGACAUAGAAUAAAUCAUGUAUGAGUUUAGUGUAAUCAUGUUUUGUGUCUUAAUCGUAUUAACAGAUUAAGACACGAUAUUAUUCGUGUUGUAUUCAUGUCAAAUAGUGAUGAGACGCUUAAAACACGUACUGUUUAUGCAAGCAUAUAUAACAUAAAAACUAUAAAAAAUUAUUUUAAUUUAUUUCUUAAAUAAAUUAAUAAUCAUAUUUAUUGUAUUGUUUUGAUGUUUAAAUAGAUUAUAAAUAUUUAAUUCUUAAAUAAUUUUUUAUUUAAAUACUAUUUUAAAUGAUUUUUUUAUUUAAAUUAAUAGACUAAUCAUGUCUAAUCGUGUUAUUCGUGUUUAAUCGUAUUAAUUAUGUCGUGUUGUGUUAUGUUACCUGAGUUGUAUUAAAUAAAUUAACUUUAAACAUAUUAAUCAUGUCGUGUCGCGUGUAACACAUAUAAUAAAUAUGUUUUAUUUGUGUUUAAGUUAUUUAUGUCAUUUAAAUAUUUAUGUUGUGUUCGUGUCAAAAUUAUUUAUGUUAUAUCUGAACUUAUGUUUGAUACGAAACAUGACACGAUGACACAAAUUAUUUGAUUUACCUUAAAAGUUAAUUUUUACCUUAAAGUUUAAAAACUUUACUGUUAAUGGAUGUGAUAAGUUUUCAUAAAUAAAUUCAUUUAACCAAAACUUCACUUGAAUAAUUUUAUCUAAAUCUUUUCCGUAGACAAUAAUGUAAUAUUAAUAGAAGUCACAUAUAUAUAUAUAUAAUUGUUCAAAAAGCCGAGUUUGAAUUUUUUUAGCUCAAAAUCCAAAACAUUUGUCCUCAAAGGCACAACUGAAUUACUAACAUUUUGUGUUUGUAAAACCAGCCUUGGAGCUUCACUGCUGAAGAGCCAAAGCUGUUCUUUACCUUUCAGUUUCUGCUUGUGUUUGAGCUGAGAAUGUAAAUGAAGAAGAACUGAAGAAUGAAAAUGGAGGCACCUCAUGGGAACAUUAUAUUUUGUUAAAAAAUUUCACGUGGCCUAAACAGAAUGAAAAGAAAGACUUGCCGGGUUUAGGUAAGCUUAUACAUAACUUGGAUUCAAUAUCUCGAAGUUCAAAAUCUUGCCCCAAUUCAAAGGCAUAUGCCCAACUUUUUCCACAUAAAAUAUUGAUUUUUUUUAAAGAUGUCAAUUUUAUCCAAAUCUAAUUAGAAAUUUGAUUUUUUUUACUUGAAUGAGAUGAAUAUGGAUAUUAAACUUUGAGAUGAGAAUGAGAUAGAUAUGAUUUUAAAUUUUUAUUGGAUACGAAAAUAGAGACGAAUAAUAUAGCAUUUGUUCUGUACUUAUUCUCAUACUUUAUAUAUAUAUAUAUAUUUAGUAAAUAAGUUUUUAUUUAAUAAUAUAAAUUUAUUUUAAAUUCAUUAAAAUUAAUAUAUUUCUAUUUAAAAAUAUAUUAUUAUAUAUUUAUAAAAAUUUAUGUGCUCAAAAUACAAAAUAAAAAAAAAACUAAAAAAUCUUGCCCCAAUUCAGGCUCGAUUCAAAAGCACAUGGCCAACUUUUUGCGCUGUAGACACCCAAUUUGGUCCAGGCCCGGAUCAAUUGGGCCUGGCCUAAAUGGGUAAGUCCAAUUGUAUCUUGGUUAUUAUUAUUAUUUUUUAUUUUAUGUAUAUCCUAUAUAUUUAUUAUUUAUUUAUUAUUACUAAUAUAUAUUUUUUAUUUUUAUCUUUUAUUUUAUUUAUUUUCGUAUUUUUAUAUAUCUGAUAUUAUUUUUUUAUUUAUCCUAUAAUAUUUUUUUGAUUUAUCUUUUCUAAUUAUCUAGUAUUUUUUUUUAUUUGAUUUUUGGAGGGCUAGGAUUGAAAGUGGAAGAAUCCCAUUGUGAAUGAGAAUUCAAUCAGAAGAGUCCAAUUGGAUUCAAAGAUUGAAUCCCCGUCCAAGGAGAAAUUGGGAUUGAUCAGGAACUCCUGAUCAACCCCUAUAAAAGGCACCUCUUGGAACAAGUUUGAACACACACAGAAAACAGUAAGCAAAGCUACUGAUUCGAGAGAAAAGGAGGCGUAUAGGAAGCUAAGAAAGGUUUAGGAGUGUUCUGGGAGCUAGCAGAAAUUUUUUUAAAUUUUUUGGCAAUUUUUCUUCCUGGGAAUUUCUGGAAAAUUUCAGAUUUCGGUGAAUUUUUCGGCGCAGUUUGAAUUUUUCGGCAAAAUUCCGGCCAACCUUGAAGUUUUAGGUGACCUGCCUAGUUUCCAGCGAAGAAUCCCAGAAACUAGCGAUCUUCAAGCCAAAUUCCAACGAACAUCCGGCGAAAUUUCCAGAUUCCGACGAGAUUUUCCAGAAUCCGACGAAAAUUCCACCGGUGUUCUUCGACCUUUUAGAGAGAAGGGAGAGAAAAAGGGAAGAAGAGAGAGAAAGGGGAGAAGAUUUUUGCCGAAAAAAAAAAUGGAACUGCCUUUUAUACCCUCCCAAAACAACGUCGUUUUGGCUUUAAGUAACCAGAGAAUCCGCGCGUUUUGCCGAACCCGACCCGAGCGUCGACCCGCUUUCUGACCCGCGCGUGCUGCCCCCUCCGAGCCAAGCCGAGCCGAGCCGAGCCUCCCAAGCCGCUCCCCCGAGCCGUUUUUCGCCCUCGAGCCGAGCCGAGCCGAGCCGAGCCGAGCCGAUAGCCGAGCCGCUCCAGGUUUUUUUUUCUUUUCUUUUUUUUUUCGAAAUUUUUUUAUUUAUUAGAUUAGAUUUAUUUAAUAUUUUUUAUCUUUAUCUUAUUUUUAUUUUUGUUUCACUUUUCUUUAUUUUUAUUUUUAUUUUCUUUAAAUAAAAUAUCAAAAUUUCCAAAAAAAAAAAUAUUUUUAGGGAAAAGUUGAAAGUAUCAAUUUUCCUUGAAAAUAAAUUUAAAAAAAAAAAAGAUUUUUAGGGAAAAGUUGAAAGUAUCAAUUUUCCUUGAAAAUAAAUUUCAAAAAAAGGAUUUUAGGGAAAAGUUGAAAGUAUCAAUUUUCCAAGUUGAAAGUAUCAAUUUUCCUUGAAAGUCAAAAUUUCCAAAAAAUAUUUUUAGGGAAAAGUUGAAAGUAUCAAUUUUCCUUGAAAAUCGAAAUUUCAAAAAAAAAUAUUCUUAAGGAAAAGUUGAAAGUAUCAAUUUUCCUUGAAAAUAAAUUUCAAAAAAAGGAUUUUAGGGAAAAGUUGAAAGUAUCAAUUUUCCUUGAAAAUCAAAAUUUCCAAAAAAAUAUUUUUGGGAAAAAGUUGAAAGUAUCAAUUUUCCUUAAAAAUAAAUUUUCAAAAAAGGAUUUUUGAGGAAAAGUUGAAAGUAUCAAUUUUUCUUGGAAAUCAAAGUUUCAAAAAAAAUAUUUUAGGGAAAAAUUGAAAGUAUCAAUUUUCCUUAAAAAUAAAUUUCUAAAAAAACAUUUUUGGGGAAAAGUUGAAAGUAUCAAUUUUUCCUACACAAAAAAAAAAUCAUUCUUUCCUUCCUUUCUAUUUUUAUUUUUAUUUUGAUUUUUCUUUAAAUAAUCCGACGACGGAGCAUCUGCAAGUGAAACAGUAGUUUUUCUUGCAUACUCUUGAGGUGAGGAAAUUUUCUCAAUUUUUUGCUAAAAGUAUUAGAGUCAAUUGAGAAUAAUUUCCAACAAUUAAUUACUUGGUAAAAUUUUAAGGCUUUUGGAUAACACAAAUUUAAGCUGGUACCAUCUUUUGAUGGGCGUUGUGAGGGUGCUAUAACUUUCCUCACACGUAACCGAACUCCCGAACCCUGUUCUAGUUAGUAGACCUGAACCUAUUCUUUUAGGGACCCUUAAACUUAAGCGUUCCCUGGAAGGACAGAUUCUUUAGGUGGCCAAUCGCACCUAGAUAAAAAAGAUUGGUGGCGACUCCCUAAAAGUCAAUGUCUAGCGAUAGAUCCCCGGAUCUAGACAUUAUGACAUGCGCUAAAAUGUUUCUUUUUUUUUUUUUUUGGAGAGGUCAAUUUUAUACAAAUUCGAUAAAAGAUUUAAUUUUUUACUUGAAUGAAGAUAGAAAAAGGUAAUAAAUUUUUGAAUGAUAAUAUAUGUAUAGUUUUGAUCUUUUAUCAGAUAUAAAAAUGAAAAAGAAUAAUAUAAUAUCUAUCUUGUAUCCAUAUCCAUAUUAUAUAUAUUUUUAUAUAUGUGUAUUUAGUAAAUAGAUUUAAUAAUAUAAAAUUUAUUUUAGAUUACAGGUGGGUUUGAGGAUGAGCAAAACCUAUUUCAUUGUCGACCGAGAUUGGAUGGUGGCUUAGGAGGGUUAAAAAAUCAAUGAAUUAAAUCAAAUAAACAAUGAAAGUUAUUCAAAUAAUUGGUAGAAAAGAAUAUAAAAUGUUCAAUAAAAAAACAAUGAUUACAUUGAUUGGAACAAUCAUUAGCAAAAUGUUAGAUAAGGUUUUGGACGUCAAGCUGUUAUCUUGAUUUGUCAGUCGUGAGCAUGGAAUGGAAUUAAUACAGCCAGCGAGUUGAAAGCAGAAGAAUAACUGGAAUAGUAGGUGACAAUUAAACACAAAUAAUUUAUCUGAAAGUUGUGGAUAACAUAUUGAUUAGUGAGAAUCGUAAUGAAAAUCGUUUAGGCUGGCACAGGUAGAUGAAAAUCGUAAUGAACCAUAUUCAAUGGAAAAGCAAUUUUUCUAAUCAUUAAGAUCCAUUCAAAUAAUAAAUGAAAUUUAUUCUAGUGAAAUUAAAAAUAAUAGUGAUCAUAAAAUUAGAUAUUAUAAUAGUUAGAAUGAAUAUUAAUAAAAUUAAAAUUAAUGAUGAAAAUAUGUUUUUUAUUAUAAAUAUAAUGUUGACGAUUAAAUUAAAUAUUAUAAUCGAUUUAUUAAAGAUAAUCAAUUAUAAUAUUUAAAAACUAGGCAGUUAAAUGCCCAACAAAAAAUAAUAGAUUGUUAUAAUUGAAAAAUAUCUUUUGUUUUAAUUCUACACUAAAGACAGUCAAAUAUCUUAAUAAAAGAAAUUAAAAUUAAGGUUAAGAAAUAAGAAAGUGGCUGAAAAUGGAAGAUUGGAAGUGGGAUUUUUGGCCUUUUCCAAAUUCGGAUCAAAGUAAAUGGGUCUUGAAAUCAUAUUUCACCUGGUGAACCUAGCUGUAAAGGGUGAGGUUUAAAGUUCUAGCAACUGUCAGUAAAGAAUGUUGGCACUGACAAGCUGAGAAAGUCUAAACAAUAAGAGACUCUCCCACUAUUCUCAAUCAAAAAAAGGCAAACGUUGGAACUUAGAAGGGAAUUUGGGUUGAAAUUAGAAAUGAGAUUUCAAGAAAAAAUUGCCUUUCACAGUAUGGAAUUGCUUGAUCUUCACUCAAAUGUUUCAUCCAAAUCCUAAAAAUCAGUCAUCAACCUCUCACUCAAGCCCACUUUCCGGUCCAGACUAGGAAAAAUAGUUGUCACUUUGAGGUCGAAACUCAUUUGCUUCAUGUAAUCACCCGAUGAUAUACAGUAAUUUUAGAAUUCAAAUACCAAUAUUUAUAAUCUCUAUUCUUAUUUCUAAACUAUGACUUUUUUUGUAAAAAAGAAAAAAAAAUUGAUGACUCUUUUUAACUUUAAAUUUUUUUGAUAUAGGUUGCAACCUCUUUUGCUGGCUUGUUUACUUUUCUUUGAUUCCUCCGAUCAAUAGGCCAACUCUGCAGUUUCAUGGCCAUUGGAGCAAACAUGUUCUUUAGGCCAAAAGCUUUUGUUGAUUUCACGUUGCAAAGAAUGGGUGUGGAUUCAAUUUCUCCUUACCUAUACCUAAAGGAUUACACGUUUUAAUGGACGUACAAAAAGAGUUCACAGUUUGGCACAACAUUAAGAUUACUCCAAUAUGUUUAAAUUACCAAAAUGAUGUUUUUUUUUUUUACAAAAUAUCGAUAAAAUUGCAUACAUUUUCAAAUUACAUUAAUUUUAGAUUAAAUCAAAUUAUCGUCUUUGAAAUGAUUGAAUAAAUCAAUUGAAUUAAACUCAAAUAUUUCUUCCUUGUAUUGACAGCUUGAAAACUAAGAUAAAACAAAAAUACAAAACCAGCUCGGUUCACACUGCCAAGUGUUGAUUAAUCACCUUUGCGCCGCAAAAAUCACAACCUUAAUUAAGGAUUAAUUAACCAAUAAUAUUUCAUUAACACAGCAAUCUCGGCACGUACUAAUGUAUCGUCAUGUGAAUGGCUUUGUUACAAGCUAAAGUAACCGCGGACCAUUGGAGGACAGAGCUGUCAAACAAGGCAAUGACAUCUUGCGACGUGGCACAUUCUUGCUGUAUGAACUCAAAAACCGAGUCUAACAAAGUAAGAAAGAGGUUUUUGUCUUUAAGAAUCUUCCUGAGUUGUUGUAUAUGCUUUGGAUUAAGUCACCAAAAUCAAAGGUACCCCCAAAGUAUAUAUAUAAUAUACGUUUUCUUAUAUGCCAUGGCAUCAAUAUUAAACCCAACAAAUUUUUUUUUUUUGUUUUUCUUGUUUCUUGUGUUCCUCUAAUGAGGUGGAUUAGAGGACCUGCCAUAGGCCGUGGCGCCACAGCUACCGUAUCGCUAGCCACCGCCACCCCUUCUGGUGAGCUUUUCGCCGUUAAGUCCACUGAGUUAUGUCACUCAAUGUUCUUACAAAGAGAGAAUUAUCUCUUGUCCAAAUUAAGUUGUCCUCGUAUUGUUAAAUACAUAGGCUAUAAUGUAACAAAUGGAACAAAUAACAAGCCUAUGUACAAUCUUUGCAUGGAGUAUGUCCCCGGUAGCACGCUUUUCAAGGAAAUUCAAAGGGUAGGAGGGAGAUUGGAUGAAGAGAAAGUUAGAUUGUACAGUCAGCAGAUUUUACAAGGUUUGAAUUAUCUUCAUGAUAAUGGGGUGGUACAUUGUGACAUCAAGAGCCAAAAUAUUUUGAUAGGUAAAGAAGGUGCAAAGAUUGCUGAUCUUGGUUGUACUAAAUUGAUGGGAAAAGUUGGUUCUAAUGGAGGUUUUGACACGUCAGCAUUUUCCGGUACACCGUCUUUCAUGGCACUUGAGGUGGCACGUGGGGAGGAUCAGGGUUUUGAAGCUGAUAUAUGGGCUCUUGGAUGCACAAUUAUAGAGACGAGCACUGGGAAUUCCCCAUGGCCAGAGCUGAAUGAUCCGGUUUCAGCUCUUUAUAAGUUUGGAUUUUGGGGUGAAAUACCUGAGAUUCCAAAGUGGUUAUCUGAGAAAGCCAAGGAUUUUCUGAGAAAGUGUUUGAAAAGGGAUUCAAAGGAGAGAUGGACAGCUAAAGAAUUGCUUCAACAUCCAUUUCUAGAAGAAUUGGAUACACUUUUAAAGGAAGUAAAGGAAUCUACCAUCAAUUCUCCAAGUUCUGUGCUAGAUCAUGGUUUCUGGGAUUCAUUGGAUGUGGUGGAAAGUCCUGAGAAUUCGAUUCCUCGAGAGAUUUCCUUGAAGUCUCCGACUGACACGAUCAAGAAAUAGCUUCAAGGCACUCUGUCACCAUCUUCCAAUGCUUCUUGUUGGACGUGGAGUGAAGAUUGGAUAACAGUUAGAAGCAGUGGCAAUGACAUGGUAGAAGAUGAUUUUGCAUUUGCAACUCCAUCAUUCCUGGAUCCUUUUGAAGAAGAACUUGAAAUUGAAAGCUCAAUCUUAGAUGGGGAUUUUUUGUUAGAAAAUUCUAUAGAAAAUGUUAUUGAUUUUAGCAGUAUUUUGGCAUUUGAUAGUGUAACAGAUGAUUUUUUUUGUAUCAGACAAUCUCAAUGUUGAGACAGUAUUCAAUGAAAUUUCUUGUUCUAUUCCAAUCCCAUCUUCCAUAUUUGAUUUCUACAAAAUUUCCUUUGCAGGCAGACAUGACCGGCCGGCGAUCAACUCGGCUGAUGAUAAUGAACGAUUGGUGCUUGAGAGAGACUGGAAGAGGGGAUUGACUCCAUUUUUCAAUCUAUCAGGCAAUGACUUUUAACAAAGUCAAGUCUUCUCUGAUGUGCAACAAGUUGGAGAAACCAACAUGGUUUCAGUUUGCCAACUUUUGUUUGAGUCAACUGAUGGAGAAAUGAAGACUCAGCAGCAUUAGCCUUUUACAAUGUCAUCAUUUCUAUCAUUGGUAAGCGAAUUACUUGUUAAGACCAAGUAUUAGCCUUUCACAUUCAGAAAAAGAAAAAUUUUGUUAGAUAAUUAUAUGAGCAAUGAAACUAUGAAAAAGUUUGGCAAUUGUCAAACGGGGUUGGUUGAGUUGGUAAAGUUGGAAUAUUUUGUUUAUAGAGCCUAGAUUCAAAUCCCGUUGCCAGUAAUUUUUCUUUAUGGAAAAUCUGUAAAUCCAAUUCAAGUUCUCUCUGCGGUUUACCCUGACCUUGAAAUGGGAAGCCUCCUCUUACCUUGAACUUUUAUGUACCAUAAAAAAGCCUGGUAAUUUAUAAUCGAGGCUAUGAAAAUUGAAAAUUCUCAUCUUUUGAAAACCAUCAACUGCAGGUUAAUCAUUCUUCCAGUACUAUUCAUGAAUUGAUUAAUUGUAUAUAUCCAAUAGUAGCCUUCUGGUUUGGGUCCAUUUCAUGCCAUUUUUCCAGUUUCAGGUUAAAAUUCAUUCAAAUUCUGAGAAAGGUCUGGCUGGUUUAUUCUCUCAUGAAUCAAAAGAAAAAAAAAAAAAUCUGUUUUUGAUUCAAGAAAUGUUUGGUUGGCAAAAGUUAGCAGGAUAAUUCGACAACAGAAAAACUGUGUAUAGCCAUUUAAUUUGAGCAAUUAGAUGAUGUUAAGGCAGUGAAGGACAGAUAUUGAAAACUUAAGCCAACGCCAUGUAUCAAAUUGCAGAUUUGCAGAAGUUCAUUCUUGUCAUAUUUUAUCUUAUUACAACAUAUGACCCUGUCUGAGGCAUGUUUAUGAUUCUGUUUACUUCUAAGUUCUAACAUCAAUUUUUCAUCUUGAAGCUGUUGUCCUCUUUGGAUGUUCUUUCAGAUCAUGAUGCUUUACAUCAGGCUUUAGUUUCAUUUCUUCAGCUGCCUCCAAUCUCUUUGUUUUUGGAAGCUCUUUGAUAUAGUAGUGUAAUCUAUACGUAACCAGUGCAAGGAAUAGAGCAAACCCUGAAAUUUAAUCCUUUAAUAUGAAUGUUAGAAGACUUCUUUUAAAAGGUAAUUGGAACUAUUUCAAAACGUACACCAUUAAGCUGAUAAUUUGAUAUUAGACUUGAUAAUUUUUGUAUUCAUAUUGCGUUUUAUACAAAAAUUACGUGUAAUAAUUCGUAUUAACGCAAAAUACGAAAUAUAUUUUUGGUUUCUGUUAAACUAAUCCAGGAUUUUAGUCCUAAUUGAAAUUUAGUCAUGAUUGCUAGUUAACAUUUUAAAUUUGUGUCAGAUAGUGUAAUUUUAAGUCAGAUUUUGUGUUUGACCCAAUAUGAAUUGUGAUACAGUAAUUUUCAUAUUUUAUACAUACUUAACAUGAAAUAAAUAGACACAAAAAUAGGAAUUGCUAAUAUAUAUAGUUAAACCUUAAAACUCAUACACCUGAGGAACUUCAAAUGAAGUUAAUGAUAGUAAGUUACCCAUUAGAGAUGCUUCCAAAAUUUGAUUUGCCAUUAGAACCUCAUCAGUUGGAUUGAGAACACCACCUUCCAAUGAACGUUUCUGGAUCUCAAUUACAUUGUAUGAGAUAGAGAUAAAAACAACAAACAAAGUUCCUGCAACAGUCUUUGAAAUCACAGGGCCUCUCCCUUCCUUCAUCUUGUCCAAUACCUUGGUCAGCAGGUUCCUUAGAGGAGACCUGAACAGAAGCACCAGAACAAGAGCCGUUUCAGCAGAAACAAGAGUAAUCAAGAGAUGAAUCAUCUCAAUCAAGUAUUCAAAAAACUACUGCAAUGGUUUCUGAGAAAAUUAUAAUACAAUAUAUGGGGUGAAAAUUAAGUCAAAAACCCAAGUCUACAAUAGAAAAUGUUAACAACAUGUUUAAAAUUUUGGUAUCUGCUUCAAAACUUCAGUUUCUGGUUCAAUUAGGGAAUUAUGCUUUCCAUUUCUAUAGGAAGAAUAGAAUAUAUCUUCACUAACAGGAAUGGACACAAGAUGUAUUAACAAGGAAAAACAGAAUAACUUGCAGGCUCAGUUUUGAAGCUGCAAAAGUGCUUUCUCUAUUUCUUUUUUUCUUUUUUUUUCUACAUUCCCAUGUCAAAAAAUAGUGAAUUUAAGUCAAUGAUUUUAUCAUGUUGAUGGUUAGCAAAUGAGUUCAUUGUGUGAUAACUUGGGCUAAAACUGGGCUUGGGCAUCGUAAUCCAUCUCUCCUCAUCUUUCCCUUGUCCUAAGUUUGAAAAUAAACUUGAUAAUUUAAAACAUAAUAUCAUCACAUGAUAUAAAUAUGAUACAAAAAAAGAUAUUAAAAUGAUAUGAUAUAAAAUUUUAAUCAAAAUUACAUAUAAAGUUUAAUAAAAACUAAAAAAAUAUAUUUUAUAUAUUUUUACUGAUAUUAAUUAUGAUACAUAAUUUUCAUAUAAAAUAUAAUAUAAAUACAUAAAUUAUUUGUAUUUUACAUAACACUAUGAAUUAUUAUCAUGUUUACUCAAAAGAAAACUUAGGAAUUAAGAAAUCCAUAAAGCGAAUUGGUUUGAAAAUGUUUAGACUCUAUUUGGGCUGAAGCAUAAGUUCAAUACAAAAAAGAGAAAGAAUUACAGGCCUCAUGAAUGAUCUAUUGGGGGUGCAACAUAACCAACUUUGGGCUUCGGCUGGUCCCAUAGCUCUCCCAAUCCUUUCCAUUCUAGGAAAGAAAAGUUGGGCUGGUAAUAAAUCCACAAAGUUCACCAGUCAAAAUAAUCCAGAAAUGGUGGUAAAGAGAGGCAGACAAUGGUUACUUAAGAUCAAUGAAACAAUCUAAAUAUUGAACUAGAUAGGUUAUUUUAUGAUUUUUUUUUCUUUGUUUUUAUUUGUUAUCUUAAGAAAAUUAAUAAAUCAUGAGAAUUUUGGAUCAAAUUGGAUAAUUCUGAUAUUAACAUCAUUACAUGAAAUGAACUGGUUGAUCAGAGAUUCAUGUCAUCCAAGUUCUAACAAUACAAAAUCCGUUGGAGAUAAAUUUGAUUCAAAUAAGAAUAAAAAAAGAGUUUGGUUGCAAACUCUUCUUCAACCUCUUCUUGUGUUGAAGAAUGAGGAUGGGAUGCAUCAUCUGCAAGGUCUCUGAGCUCUGACAAACUUCUUCCAAGCUGAAGAGCGGCUUUCACUUCAAACAAUUCUCCACUUUCCCUGUCAUCAGCGUCUCCUUCCUCCAAGGUUAAUUCUAUAGUCUCCCCCUUAAGCCUGAAGAAUCCAGCAGAGCUCCUAUACAUUUCAAACCCCGUACCAAUCUGCCCACCAUGCUCAAAACUGUUAACAACAAUUGCCAUAGCUCCAAAAACCACACUGAAAAUCACAGCAAAUGAGCCACAGAAAGAUGAUCCCAUCAAGGCAGAACAAACUGCAGCCGUGCCAGUGAACAAGGGGCCACAAAUAGCUAGAAUUUUAUUGAUUUUCAGCACUAUUUUUGCUUAGUUUGAUAUAUUCUUCAGUGUCUUUUCUCUUCAAAACCAUAACAAUUUCUUUCAUUUUCUUCUUCAAGAUUUUCAUCCCACCCAUCUGUUUCUAUUUACUGUUGAUAAUUAGAAUGUGGUGCAUCUAUAAAGAUUUAAUUAUUAAUAAAUAAAAUUAAUUUUUAUAUUAAUUUUAUUUAUAUUUUAAGUUGUAAAAAACUUACCAAGCAUGGUUCCAAACAAGGGAAGUGGAUAAGCUUCAUCUAAUGCCAAGACUUUCUCCAUUGCAUGUUUCACAUCAUCUGAAUCUGGGUUUCCAAGAGCAAUGAUUGUAUUUAUCUCCUCAUGAAGCUGCUUAAACAAUCUUGAAGCAUUUCUUUGUUCUUCAGCCAGCUGCAACGGCUGUAUCUUAUAUAUAACCAGCAAAUUUAUAACCAGCAAAAGCCGGUUGAUGCAAUGUAAAGCAAACCGAAAGAUAGUUUCAGAACCAAAAAUGAUGCUCCACCUCCAACGACAGCUGCAAUUCCAGCCAUUGUCGCCACUGUGACUGUCAUUUCAUUGACAGAAUUCAACAGCAGCCAGUUCCAGUUAUCACGCUGUGCUCCAAUAGUCCAAUGUUCUAGCGCAUUUCAACUAUUUCUGCUACAAUAUCCAUAAUAGCAUACAUCUCUUGCAACACCAUUGAAUUAGAGAUUUCUUCCUUGGUUACGCUGUUAUUUCCAAGUUCAGGCUUAAUUUCUAUCAGGGAUUGGUGUUUUCAAGGUUUUCAACCCUUUUCUUCUGUUAAACCAUCAUUCAGGAACUUGGAAACUGAAAUAUUUUGGGUUAUAAAGAGUGGCUUUGGUUUUUUCCGAAGGAACUGAGAAGAACGACGAGGAAAUUGGUGAAAAAGCUUGAAGAAUAGCCACGAUCACUUUGCUUGUGAUCCAAAGGCUUUUGCAGUAAAUACGAGUGGAGAUCUGAUGUAUUUAUGCUAGAAUAAUUGGAAGGAUUUUCUACAGAACUUGUCCAUGGUUUCAUUUUUCAACGUAGUUGAAUUUGACUUUCCUUUACGGUUAUUGAAGUGUAGAGCGGGUUAAAGACUUCACUUGAUUGGUUCACUUGACAUUAUUUGCUUCUUGAUGGGUAUUUUUCACUUGACAUUUUUCAUUCCUAAAGAAAGUGUGAAUCAAUGCGAUCCCAAUACUUUAAUAUUAUAAAAAGUACAGAGGAAGUAGGAACUUGAAGAGAUCAUCACGUUAAGAAUUAAGUAUUAGAAUAAUCAAUCCCAAGUUUAACUAAGUUUAUUUAUACAGAUAUCCUCANNNNNNNNNNNNNNNNNNNNNNNNNNNNNNNNNNNNNNNNNNNNNNNNNNNNNNNNNNNNNNNNNNNNNNNNNNNNNNNNNNNNNNNNNNNNNNNNNNNNNNNNNNNNNNNNNNNNNNNNNNNNNNNNNNNNNNNNNNNNNNNNNNNNNNNNNNNNNNNNNNNNNNNNNNNNNNNNNNNNNNNNNNNNNNNNNNNNNNNNNNNNNNNNNNNNNNNNNNNNNNNNNNNNNNNNNNNNNNNNNNNNNNNNNNNNNNNNNNNNNNNNNNNNNNNNNNNNNNNNNNNNNNNNNNNNNNNNNNNNNNNNNNNNNNNNNNNNNNNNNNNNNNNNNNNNNNNNNNNNNNNNNNNNNNNNNNNNNNNNNNNNNNNNNNNNNNNNNNNNNNNNNNNNNNNNNNNNNNNNNNNNNNNNNNNNNNNNNNNNNNNNNNNNNNNNNNNNNNNNNNNNNNNNNNNNNNNNNNNNNNNNNNNNNNNNNNNNNNNNNNNNNNNNNNNNNNNNNNNNNNNNNNNNNNNNNNNNNNNNNNNNNNNNNNNNNNNNNNNNNNNNNNNNNNNNNNNNNNNNNNNNNNNNNNNNNNNNNNNNNNNNNNNNNNNNNNNNNNNNNNNNNNNNNNNNNNNNNNNNNNNNNNNNNNNNNNNNNNNNNNNNNNNNNNNNNNNNNNNNNNNNNNNNNNNNNNNNNNNNNNNNNNNNNNNNNNNNNNNNNNNNNNNNNNNNNNNNNNNNNNNNNNNNNNNNNNNNNNNNNNNNNNNNNNNNNNNNNNNNNNNNNNNNNNNNNNNNNNNNNNNNNNNNNNNNNNNNNNNNNNNNNNNNNNNNNNNNNNNNNNNNNNNNNNNNNNNNNNNNNNNNNNNNNNNNNNNNNNNNNNNNNNNNNNNNNNNNNNNNNNNNNNNNNNNNNNNNNNNNNNNNNNNNNNNNNNNNNNNNNNNNNNNNNNNNNNNNNNNNNNNNNNNNNNNNNNNNNNNNNNNNNNNNNNNNNNNNNNNNNNNNNNNNNNNNNNNNNNNNUGGAAGAUAGUUUCAGAACCAAAAAUGAUGCUCCACCUCCAACGACAGCUGCAAUUCCAGCCAUUGUCGCCACUGUGACUGUCAUUUCAUUGACAGAAUUCAACAGCAGCCAGUUCCAGUUAUCACGCUGUGCUCCAAUAGUCCAAUGUUCUUGCGCAUUUCAACUAUUUCUGCUACAAUAUCCAUAAUAGCAUACAUCUCUUGCAACACCAUUGAAUUAGAGAUUUCUUCCUUGUUUACGUUGUUUUUUCCAAGUUCAGGCUUAAUUUCUAUAAGGGGAUUGGUUGUUUCAAGGUUUUCAACCCUUUUCUUCUGUUAAACCCAUCAUUCAGGAACUUGGAAACUGAAAUAUUUGGGUUAUAAAGAGUGGCUUUGGUUUUUCCGAAGGAACUUGAGGAAGAACGACGAGAAAUUGGUGAAAAAGCUUGAAGAAUAGCCACGAUCACUUUGCUUGGAUUCAAAGGCUUUUUGCAGUAAUACGAGUGAGAAUCUGAUGUAUUUAUGCUAGAAUAAUUGGAGGAUUUUCUACAGAACUUGUCCAUGGUUUCAUUUUCAACGUAUUAAUUUGACUUUCCUUUACGGUAUUGAAGUGUAGAGCGGGUUAAAGACUUCACUUGAUUGGUUCACUUGACAUUAUUUGCUUCUUGAUGGGUAUUUUCACUUGACAUUUUCAUUCCUAAAGAAAAGUGUGAAUCAAUGCGAUCCCAAUACUUUAAUAUUAUAAAAAGUAUAGAGGAAGUAGGAACUUGGAGAGAUCAUCACGUUAAGAAUUAAAGUAUUAGAAUAAUCAAUCCCAAGUUUAACUAAGUUUAUUUAUACAGAUAUCCUCAAAAAAUUAAAUUUAAUUGUAAAAAUUUCAAAGUUUACGACUAUUUUUUUAUUUUAAGAGUUAUUGAAAAGAGUUAAAAGUAUUAAAUUUACGGUGUUACACUUUUUAUUCUAAUCCAGACCGUUACUUCUUUUAUUUUUUUUAAUUGAUAAUUCGUAUAUUUAUAUCAUACAAAAUUUAAUAAUUUAUUUAUUUUUAUUAUAUUUUAUAUAAAAAAUUAAUAUUAUAUUUAUAUAUAAAAAAAUACAAAAUAUAUUUUUUAUUUUAUUAAAUUUAUAUAUAAUUUUUAUUAAAAUUUUAAAUUAUGUUAUUUUUAUAUUUUUUUAUAUUAUUUUCGUAUUAUAUUAUUAUAUCGUGUUUAAAAUUAUCGACGAAAACAAUAAAUUUUGAUUUAGGAGCAUUCACGGUAAAUCUUGAUUUCUUUUUCCAUAUAGCAAGCAAAUACCCCUUUCUUUUUCAGUUUUCGGAUGGUCACGAAACAAAACAGGCAAAUGUGAACCCCAAUUCCUAACCAUUUUCACCCUUUGAAACCCAGAGUUCUACGCUUCAAGGAGACCAGAAUUACUCAGUUUAAGACUGACAGGAGGAAAGUCGACGCGCAUUCACUAGGAAACGACGAUGAAAUAUGACCAACCAUACCAAUAAUAAUCUUCAGUUUUCAUUCCUCGAGCAACAUGUGUCGUCUUUGUCAAUGCAACAAUCUUUGAAUCUAAGUGAGCAUUAUUCGGUUUAAAUCAAUUAAACCAAUUUAAAAUUGAUAAUUCAACGAAAUCGAGAUUUUUUUUUGGAUUAUUUAGUUUUUCAACUUAAAUGAUUUAAUCGAUUCGUUUUCGAUUUUAAAUUUUAUAUAUUGAAUCAAUCCAAAAAAACUAAUUUUUAUAAUUAAAAAUUUAAUAAAAUACCCAUUUACCUUAAUUUGACUAAAUUAAUUAAAUUGGUUCGAUUUUUAUAUAAAUUAAAUUAAUUAAAUCAAUUUUUCAAUUUUUACAACUAAAUUUUACAACCAAAUUCAUCAAACAGAAUGUUUGCUUUCCCCUAAGCUCCGGGUUCUUUUAUUCGAUAUUAUUACAAAUUUAAUUCGUUGCUGUCUAUGCCUAGACCACGGUCAUUGCCCCGGCCAGGCCAGGGCAGUGAUAAUUAGAUACGAGUUUUCACUCUCACGAGUUAAUAUAAAACCUCUACAUAUGUUUUAAACAACAAAGAAACUUUGAAUUACCCCAAUGGCAUCCAUGUCAUGUGUGAACCGUGAAGCUAGAACUCAGAUCCGAGCAGCAUAAGAAUGCGGUACCGAUCAACUGCAUCACAAGGGAACCAGCCUUCUCUUGACAAAUUGUGAAAAAAAAAAUUGUAAAACAUCAAUACAAAGACUAGUACAAGUAAAGUCUUAACCAGUCAAGCUACUUAUGAAUUAUUCUAACUUUGAUCAAGAAAAACUCAAAUAACAAAUGAAAUUGAGUUUGAGUAAUUUAAUGUCAAUAUUUACAAUUUCACCGAAUUAAAUAGAGCAUACUAAAUCGAAUUCAAGUGAUUCAAUUAAAUUAUGAAUUAAAUUCGAGCAUGAAAAAUGAAGCUUGAUCAAAUUCAAACAGUGUUAUACAAUCCCCAAAUGAAGAAUUGAGAGGAAAGAAUAAGCAACCACAACCAGGAAGCAGAAUUCUCAUGUUAGAGACUGCAUGAAUCUGAGAAAAAACCAACCUGUCCAUGUAUGAUUUUCACAUUCAAGGUGUCAUAAAAAUGUGUACCCUUUACACCAGAAUUUAAAGAACUUAGUGUAAAAUAAAAGUAAAAACCGUAUUUGCACAACAGAAACUGGAAAUAUGUAUUUAUUCUUGUUCAACAAUGGCCAGCUGUAAUUUCGGAACUCGUUAAAGGGUGAAUCAACAUACGAAACCCUACAAAACUUCAGGAACUUAUUCUUGCUCAUUUAAAUAGGAAGUAUAUAUCCAAUGCUAAUCGUGAAGAUAAUAUCACAAGCGAAAAAAAAAAAUUACACAGCAGUUGCUACUAGGCCUUCAUACAUUAAGUAGCACCCUGCGAGGGUCUUCCACAACAUCUUUGAUUCGAAGCAAGAAGAAGACAGUCUCUCUUCCAUCAAUCAGCCUAUGGUCAUAAGUAAGGGCAAUGUACAUCAUUGGUCUUGGGACUAUGUUACCUCCGAUAACCAUUGGUCGGGACACUAUUGAGUGCAUACCCAAGAUAGCCGACUGCCAAAAAAUUGUUUAAUCACGUGAGAUUCUCUUUCUGGUCUCAAACAAAAGCUGAAGAUUAGAAACACAGAAGAGCGAGCGCAAACAUCUCUAUUAAUACGGAUGUCACAAGUGUAUGGAACCCUCAUACAUAAACAAGCAUGCACAAUUAUUCAGUUUGUGACCACUAACCUGAGGAGGGUUGAUAAUUGGGGUACUCAACAAACUUCCAUAACACCACCAUUGGAUAUUGUAAACGAGCCUCCAGCCAUUUCAUCAAUUGAUAUGGUCCCAUCAUUUGCCUUCUUUGCGAGGCUGUUGAUUGUUUUCUCUAUCUCAGCAAAAUUCAUCUUAUCAGCAUCUCGAAUAACCGGAACGACAAGCCCCUGACAGGAAAGAUAAAGAAACAAAAAGCUUAACAUAGAAACAUGAAUCUCAUUCUUCUUUUUCUUUUUCUUAACUUUCAGUGCCCAUGAAGGAUGGGGUGAUCUAUGCAUAUAUUUAUCAAUAGAGGCCUAUUUGAUUGGUGGAGAAACUUUGAAGAUUAGCAACAAACCAAAAUGAGAAAAGACUUGACAUAAUCAUCUAGAUACCUCAUUUUCUCUUUUGUCAUGAAAUAAAAUAAAGCAACUUCAGCUCAGCAAAUAAAGAAAACAAGUAAAAAAAAAACCCUUCAAAAAAUCUAUAAUGUUUAAUUGUCAAAGGACACAGUUUUGAACCUAUUGAUUACUCAUUUCAACUUUACAAACUGCUCUAAGUUCAUAGGAAAUUCUUAAAUUCAAUACAUUUUUACAUGAUGUUUAAAUUUCUUUCAAAACAAGCCAAGAAAGAAUGCUGAGAGAAACACUAACAAUCCAAGUUUCAACAAGCCAUUAAAUGGAUAAAUUGCAAUUUGGCAAAUAAAUCACAAAAAAGAUUACCUUCGGAGUACCAACAGCAAUGCUGAUAUCAAUAUAAUCUCUAUAAAUAAUAUCAUCCCCGUCAAUUGGCAAAUCAAUCACAGAAAAGAUUACCUUCGGAGUACCAACAGCAAUGCUGAUAUCAAUAUAAUCUCUAUAAAUAAUAUCAUCCCCGUCAAUUACAGCAUUUACUAUAGGCUGAUGCUGAAGUGCACUAAUAGCAGCCUGAAACAAAUAAUAUAGAAGAAAUGAUAAGGGAAAAAAGAGAAAGCAAAGUUAGUGAAGACAGGCCAUGAGUGCAUAUGUGACCAUUUCAAGAACAAAUUUUGCAUACUUUAACAAAUCCUGACAUAAAUCCCAACUUGACACCAUGUCUCUCAACAAAAGCAUCCUUGAAAUCAGAGCGGAGCUUCAUCAAAUUAAUCCUGCAAUGAGAAGCAAAUCAAAAAGAAAAGGAAUCAAAUCAGCAUAGCCUUCAUAAAGUAAAAUGAUCUGGUUAACUUCACGGAAAACUUGUAUCAGAAAAGGGAAGCAAAUAGUUAGGUACAGUCAAAGAAUCAUCUGAACCUAAAAAAAACCAAAAUAUAAAUGUUUAGAAAGUGAAGUAGCACAGACAGCAGGAUGCCAAACACCUGAUGCAAAGAACUAAUAUGAAGAUAACUGAACUCACAUGUCAACUUCAUUGAAUGUUGUCAACAUCGCAAAAGUAUUCUGAGAAUCUUUCAAUCGUGUAGCAACCCAUUUCCUAAGCCUUGUCAUAGGAACCUGUAAUCAUGAAGCCAUACACUCAGGAUAUUUUCUAAGAUGCUAACAUCAUUUUUCACAAAAGGCAUCAGAAAAUUCUAAGCAUACCCUUUGGAUAACAUUUGGAUGCAAACAGCUAAUGAAAAGACUUACUCUUCUUUCCCUUUCCUUGGGUGGUAGUAUAGGUUCAGUAGCAGUUCGUUUUGGAGGUGGUGGAGAAGGGGCUUUAGGCUUCUCCACAGCAGGAGAGACUUCGACUUUAGCCUUUGGCAUAUCCUCCUUUACAGUUUCACCUGGAGGAGAUGGCUUGGAAGCAGGUUUUUCUGAUUUCUUUUCAGAGGGGGCAGCAGGUGCAACACCAUCAGUGGACUUUGAAAUGACAGCAAUCUUGGUACCUGGUUCCACAGUAUCUCCUUCCUUGGCUACAUACUGGCAAGAAUUAUGACAUUAAUAUUCAGGAUCCAAUCCACUUCCCUUCCUCCCAGAAAUGAGAAGGCAGGAGUCUAGGAACGACCAACAAAGCUAGAUACAUGCGUGCAUGCAAUGUUUGACCCAAAGAUCCAGAUUUAUUGAUAUAUUACCUCUUGUAUCACACCAAUGUUGGGGGCUGACAACAUCAAUUGUUACCUGAUGGAAAAAAACACCACAGGUAUGAAGGGUAAUAAAUAUCUUCUUGAUAGAGGAAAGGAGAAGAAUAGUACCUUAUCUGUUUCUAUCUGAGCGAUUGGUUCGUCAGCUGCUACUCUAUCACCAGCUUCUGCUCUCAAAUUUCAGAUACAUACACAAUCAAACACUUACAACCCUGAAAACGAAUAUUUCUAGUGAAUGAAUGGAAAUUACAAUAGUGGAAAACAUACUUUUCAAGAAUGUUGCCAAAGUGCCAUCAGUAAUUGAUUCUCCCAUAAAAGGGACCACAGCAUCAACCAGAUCCCCUUCAUCACAAGUUAAGUAAAAUAGGAAAGUCAAAAUCUUUAAAUUUAACAUAAUUACGACAUAAAAGGGAAUUCAUCCUUAUUUUCAAGCAGACCUGUUCAUAAUCAGUAUGUACUGUUUGAAAAUGAAAAAUGCACUAAAAAUGCCAAAAUGGUGGAGGUGCAAGUCUAGUACCACCAAAGUUUACACCAAAUCAUUAUACGACUAAAUUGCAGCCAAAGUUUUGAAACUAUUGCAUUCACACUUUUCCAGAGAAAGAUUUUAAAAGAAAUUUUGAACUAAAACUAUUUUCUUCUUUUGACAUAUUGCCUGACGUAGUACCUCUUGGGCAGCCCAACUGCUAACUGAAAAUUGGGUUUGACAAUUGUUAGAUGUUAAUGGUCUAUCCCAGAUAAGCGGUGAUUCAAAUGAACAAUUAUAAUGCACAGGAUCUAAAUUCUAGCAGAAACCAAAAACACACAUCCCUAUGUUAAUAACCAUUCAAAAAAGACCAAAAAGAGAAAAAAUGCUAAUAAAACUUAGGCCAAAUAAAUAUCAUUAAGGAAAUUAUUCAAUAACAUACCAUCUCUAGAAGAGAAAGCCCCGCACAACUUUUGCAUGAUAGCCUUUGACUGCAUGCUAGAAAUGACAUCCCUGCCCACAAACAAAGCUUUCAGGGAAAAGAAGUGAAGAAGUGCUAAGGAGCAGCAAACUGAUUUAAAGAAUUAUAUAUAUAUAUAUAUAUAUCAUGGAAAGAGAAUUUCCUUUACUAGUUACCCUAAGUAAUCUAGUUCCUGAUAAACAAAUAUGAGAUGGACUGUGCAUUGAAAUGGGCCUGCUAUUAAAGUUAGAUAUACAAUUGUCAGAAUAAUCCAGUAGUCAACUCAUACCCUGUGACAGUUUAAUUCCUAACAUUGAUGUGCAUUACAAAGUUCAGAACCAACUAACCUUGUCUUUGUUAAACCAGCUGAACAGCCUAUAAUAAUAAUUUAAUAUUUCAUUAAUAAUGAAGAAAAUCAACAAAAUUAUGCCAACAAAAGAAGAAAAACCACCCAAAAGAUAUACCUGGCAGAACAAGAUGAAAGAAGCUUCGGACAUGGGCAAUUCCUCUCGGUUGAAGUAAUAGUAUGUGUUCAAGCACUUGAAAUUUCAAUCUCAUGAGAACAUUUACCAAUGGAUGACAAAAAUUCAAAGUCCAAAUGAUUAAAAAGAAAAAAAGAAAAAAGUAACAUUAUUUCUAAAUUAACUAAAGAUUAAAAUUUCAAAUUUUAUGGACAAUAAAACGUGCGAUUUUUUACUUUAAAUCAAAGGACUAAGUUUGAAUUAUUUUUGAAAAAAAAAAAGAGAAUAUUUUACCAUAUGAUCUUGCACUUCUUUUACUUUAUAUCAACAUUUUAAUAUUGCAAGGCCUAAAUAAAUCAACCAUCUUCGACAUCAGUUAUAGAUUUAAUAGCAUCAAGAUCAAUUGAAAUUCAAAGAAACUGAACUAAGUUCAUGAUUACCAAAUCUAAUUCAUUUUCAACUGAAUUAUUUAUCUCUUUUCCAGCAUUACAAGAAACUCUAGAUACUGAAACACCCGAUCGAAUCACCAGCAAUGACUUCCUUAAUACCUGAAAAAUCACAAAAAAAAUGAAAAAAAAAUUAACAAAAUCCUAUGCUUUAGCUAAAUGCAUUACAAUUUAAACAAUAAAAGUUCUAACCAAAGGUGAUGAGCCUCCGCUCGCAACUUUUCUCCUUAAAGCGCCCAACAUCACCGAUAUUCAAUCCCUAUUCUUUUUUCAAACUCAGAAGCAAAAAAUAAAAAACCAAUAAUUUUGAACGCAAAAAAUCAAAUAAAAAUCAAUAAAUUAUAAUGUAACUUACCAGAUUUCAGUGUAUAAGCAGUAUAUGAAUGAGACGUGAAGCAAAGUAAUAUCGAAGAGAAAGCAGUUUGACUUGAUUGAUGCAGACACAAUUGAGAGUCGUCGAAUAGAGUAUAAUUUAAAAAAGAGGGUUUUUAAGAGAGAUUUGGCUUUUCUUUCUUUUGUUUGGUUCAAGAGAAAAUGAGAGAGAGAAACCGCGAAGAUGCGGGUUUUGCGGGUCUGUUGUAUCCGCAACGGUCUUACGUGGCAUCGUUUUAUUGAUAGAUACAAGUAAGGAUUCUUUUCUUCCCUUUAACCGGGAGAGGAAGGAAAAGUCGUUACAGCGCCGUUUCGAAAAGUGACACUUUGAGCUUUGUUUGGGUUCGAAACUCAAUGUUUAGGCUUCGUUUGGCUUUUAUUUGGAUUUAAAAAUUUAAAACUUUUAAGACCGGCAUCUCAUAAUUUAUUAUGAUAAACUUUUAUUUCUUCCAUCUUAAUUUCUAUGUUCAUAUUUAUUUAUAUCUUAAAAUUAUAUAUUUUUUUAUAUCUAAAACUCUUACAUUUUAUAUUUUGAAAUUAUUAUAUAUAUAUUUUACAUUUUAACAUUAAAAAUCAUGAAAAUUUUUAUAAAAAUUUAAAUUAAUAUAUAAAUACAAAAAUCAAAGUUUUUUUUUUUUUAAACUCAUUAAAGUUUAAACACAAAUAUUUGAACUAAGGGAAUAUAUUUAAUUUUUAAUAUAUCUUUAAGAAUGUGAAAAUAUUAAAAAAUUUCAUUAGUAAAAAUUUUUCUUAUUACUAUUAUAUGUAUAUCAUGGUACUAAUAAUAGUUGAUUUUUAUCUUAAAAAUUAAAUAAUUAAAGUGAUUUUAUAGAUAAUCAAGGAUUACAUAGUUUUCGUUGAUUGAUAAUUAAAUAGUUAAUUGAUUUAAAAAAAUAUUAUUUCAAUGUACUUGAUAUCAUAAAUUGUUUUUAAAUUGACAUUUUGAGUUGCUUUAGUUAAUAAAAAUUAAGAUAUUUCUUUUGUUUCAUUAAUUGUUUUUAAAAUCUCUCACGGGUAAUUAAGGUUAAGGACACAAGAUUGUAUUUAUCGUGAAAAGUGAACCUUGGGGUAUCUUCAAUUUUAGUGAUAGAAAUGCAAAAUAAGUUUUUUCAACUUUACUUAAAAAUCUAGGAGUAAGAUUCAAAGCUUCACUUAGUUCAUGUAGUCACUUGUAAUAGGUAAUAUCUAGUAAGUUUAGGGUUAGAAUCUCAACCUUUGCACUCAUUUCCAUUAUCCCAAAGUUUGCGAUAUCAUAAAAAAAAUGCUGAGAAUCGGGUUAAAACUGAUGAUUCAAAUUAGAAGCACAUACUAGAAAAUAAGGUUUUAUCGAGAUGAAAAUUUUUUCAUCGGUAACAGCCAAAUUCUUCGGUCAAAUGAUAAUAUUAUUGACUAAUUUUAUGAGAAAAAAAAUUCCAUCGGUAUUAAUUAAGUCGGUACUAAGUAUUACGUCCGUAUAAGCAAAUCCAUUAUAGGGCCUACCUAGUGUAGCCGAGUUCUGGUGGGUUUGGCUGGCUUUGGGCUUCAUUCUAGCUAUGGCAGUUGGUUUUACUUCCUCGACAACUUUCUUUCUUGGUGGCAUGGUGUUUUAGCUUGGCCAAAAAAAGAAAUUCCCUUACCUGGUGCAUUAAAUGCUUGUGUCAAGCUAAGUUGGAAAGGUAAGACUCUAAAAUCACAAAGGAAAGAAAGAAAGCGAUUAAGAUUAAAUGCUAGAGUGUCCCUAAAGUUUGUGCUUUGAUGCUCAAGUCAAAAAUUAGCCAAAGAGGAAAAUAGAAAAGAGAAUAGAGAAGAUAGAAUGACAUGUCAUGUCUAGAUGGUACUUGCAUAACUAGUUAUAGUUUAAAAGUAAGGGGUUUCGGGUAACUUAGGUUGCCCAAAGUUAGUCAUAUGGUUAAAGAUGACCUAAAGUAUCAAGUUAACUUGGAUAUUGAUUGUCCACCAAAAGGACGACAAGUCAACAUUGAGGGGAGCCUGUUGGGUAGAUUAGUAAGGUGGUUGAGCUAACGUGGUACUAUGACCUUAAGUUAAUCAAACAUGUAAGGUCAGUCCAAAAGUCUAAAAUAUCCCUGGCUAUUUGUUGGUAGUCUCUAAUGAGAAAAGAUGACUAAAAUAACCUUUGGACCCAAAAAUACCCAUAGUAGUUAGUUUUUAGUUUAAUUAAUCAUAUUUAAUAAUUGACAGCUUCAAUUAAAAAAAAGUAUAUUAGUUAAUUAAUUGAUUCCAUGUAACUAGCUGAUGGAUUGAACAUUUCAUAUGUGUAUAUAUUCAAGUAUUCCAUUAAGAAUAAAAAAAUAGAUAUGACUUUUGUUUUCAUUAAGAACAAGAGCACUUCAUUUUGAUAAUUAAAACCAUCAAGAACAAGAAAUUAAGCAUAAGUAAAGAAAAAGUUAGUUAGGUACCAUUGUUAUGGCAUGGAAAUGUGUUUUGAGUCCUUAUUGAAACUUGUACUCAAAUUUGGGCAUCCUUUUUACUCCAAAAUAACACAAAAAGGGAAUCCAAAAUGAUAACCCAUUUGAGCGAAGGUAUUUAGGCUUAGAAGCUUUGAAAGUUUCAAUCCUUUUAAUUUAAGGAAUACUAUUCCUUUUCCAUCAUCUCAAGUUUAAUUCAUUUUAAUACCCAAAAACUUGCUUUGAUUUGGAAUCCAAAUUAAUUUCAAUAUUUUUUAGUUUUGAAAGAGAAUAGGUAACAAUAAUUGGAAACAAGCUUUGAAAUUGUUACACCCAUAAAUCCAUAUAUGUUUAAGAUAAGGAAAGGAUAUAAGUUGGAGAUGACUUUAUAAUAAUGAUGCUAUUGAAGUUUGGUUUAUUUCAAUGAUUUCUUUUGACUCAUCACAACACUCUGUAUCCAAAUAGUUCAUGUGUGGUAAAUUUUUAGCCAGUAUAAAAGAGAAGAUAGAUUUUAACCUAUUACAAUUUGACACAUUUAACUCUCUAAGACAUUAAAGGCUUGCAACUGGGAAAUGACCUUAUAACUAAUGUAUACGCUUUAGAUUUAUAACCUCUAUUCUUGAGAGAAAAUAUUUAGCUUAUUUGAAGUAUCCUUCCCAAUUAAUUAUGUUGCACAUGUUGUUAGGUCUUAACCCAAAAAGUUAUAGUUCAUAUAAAUAUAAAAAAUAUCAUAAUUUCAUUAAAAAUUGAAUAAAUUACAAAGGUUGAAGAAUGUAUAACUUUAAACAUAUGUUUAAUUGGUUUUCAAUUGUCAAUUAAUUUUUUCCACAUAGUGCAAUGUCAUCAAAGUUUGCCUAUAUAUAUACGUCAUCAAUUUGAAUUAAUAGGAUCAUCACUAGAAUUUCCCAUCCAAAUUAGGUUUCAUUAAACUCAAAUAGUUUGGCUUAAUCACACGAUAACAAAGUAAGGGCUUAAGUGAAAAUUUGAUUAAAUAUAGUUAGAUGGCUUAUUUUAUUGUUAUGCCAUUACUAAAGAAAACAAUUUUGUUUUUAGCUUCCAUUAGGUCUGAUCUUUUCAUCUUUUAAUUAAGUUUUUAACCUCCUAUUUUUCUUAUGCACGCUUUAAGGUAACCACGAUUUACAUCUUUAUCUUUAGUAACUUUCUCCAAUUGACGUUCCUAUACAACAGCUUAAUAAUUCAAUUUGUCUCAAUUUUUCUUGAAGUCUUAGAUUCUCUUUUGUAUCUUUUCUUUUUCUGCCUCGAAUUCCAACCUUGUGAUUUUGAUUUCCAACAUCAGUGCCUUUGCCCAUGGAUCAACUAGUUGAGCAAACCAUCAUUUGGAGGGUACCAUAUUAUUAACCCAUUUUGCUCUCCAUACCAAGUAUCCUAGAGUGACAUCAUGAGUACAUCUUCUCAGCUAUGAUCAGUAGGUUUAUCUCUAUGCUUUAGUGAUAUUGUGUAGUCUAACCACAUUGUUAAAUUUUCCAUAAUCGAAUUCUAAUUGGUUCAACCCAUGAGUCAUCUGAACAAAUUGUUUAGACCUAUACUAUCGCCUAACCAUAAAGUGUGUAAAACUUAUAACUCCCUAAAUUCAUAAAAAUAGACCCACGUUUUAUCACUACAACUAUACAGUAUAGAGGCAUGAAGCAUCCAAAGUGCUCUCCAAAUCAAAUCUUCUAUAUUAAGAUUUCAAAAGAAUGCAACCCAUUGCUCUUUAAUGAGGUCCUUCUACGGAUAUCAGUAGGUAGGGUAUAAGGUGGAUAGAGCAUUCCUUAUCCCAUUCUUGAAUUUUUAUAUUAUACCUAUCUCGGUAUCCACAUCCAAUAGGUAUUUCAAAUCUAUCCUCACCCUCAUCCUCUUAAGUAUUUAAUGGGUAUAGGUAAUCCUUAUAUCCAUAGCUUCUUUUUUUUUAAAAAAUAAAAACUAUAAUUUAUUUUUUUAGCUUUUUUUAUUUUUAUAUUAUAUAUUUAGGUAAUUUUUUCAUAAAUAUAUAUUAAUAUAUAUAUUUCAAUAAAAAUAUAUUAAUUCUAAUUAAUCUAAAAUAAUAAUUUAUAUCAUUUAACAAAAAAUCUAUUUAUUAAGUAUUUAUAAAUAUAUAUGUAGAGUACAAAUAUGGGGUGGGUGUUAUAUUACCCAUCUCCAUCCUUAUACCUAAUAAAAAUUUAAAAUCAUACACAUUCCUAUCCCUAUACCCACAAUGUAAUACCCAUUUCUAUCUUUAUUUAGGUAAAAAAUUAGAUUCUUCAUUAGGUAUAGGUAUCUUUAGGUUCUUCGGCCAUUCUUUUUUAUAGAACUUUGUGAUAGGGACUAAGAUUUCUUGCAUGGUUUAGAGGAACUUUAUCUUUACCCUAAAAGUGGCUUUGAAGCUAGAUGUAUAAAAUCUAUACACAUCUCAAAAAAUGUAAUUCUCCUUUUCUCCAACAACAAUUCAAUGAUUUAAUUAUCUUUGUUAAAAUAACCAUUGAGGGAUUGAAAUAUUUAUGCAACUAUGCUGAAGAAUCAACCAUUUAUACCUCGACAUGCCCUAAUACCCUCAGAAAGAUUAGCAAACCAUAAAUCGCAAAGGUAAAUAUUUUAAUGACUCGCUCUUCAUUGUGGUUCUUAAGUUUAAGAUCAAGUAAGAAAGCCUAUGGGAUACCAUCAAUGAUUCUUUUCUUCUUAUCGAUCACUUUGACAUCCACACCAGUUAUUUGUAAAGCUUUUUUUGAUAACUUGAUUUCUUUUAUUCGUUCUAGUAUAUCCUAUCUGAACUUGAAAACUUUAUAUAAAGCAAAGUGGAAUAUUUCUCAAUAGUUGAUGUCGUAUAUUUUUUGUUGAAAGUUAAGCAAUGGUAUGAUGAGGUUCCAAAAUCAUAUUAUCACCUUAAUCUACCUUUCAUUUGUCUUUGCCGAAAUAAGUAGCUCAAUAUUUCUAUACUUCUUGAUAAAAGCAUUUUUUCUUUCUGCCUCCAUUAAUUCCAAAUAUUUUCCAACUCAAUCAAGUCAUUCUAACAUAGGUCUAAGUGGACUAUUACAAGACAUAUCCUUUAAUUAAACAAUCUCCAUCCUUUUAUUGCCCAUUUUCAGAUUGAUCAUUAAUUUCCCAAUGUGUCUUACUAAUAGUAAAUAUUGAAAGCAAAUCCCGAGAUUUCAUGAUCACAAUAGUAGUUUUUUUGGCUGGACAUUAUCUAAAAUAAAAAUACACCUCAAUGCAACUGUUUUAUAUUUUUGAUGAUGCAUGUAAAAAGGAAAAAAUAAAAAAGUUAGUAAAAAUAGAUUUAUAAUGAAUAAAAUUUCAAAAUAGGAAAAGAAAUUGGUUUCAUUGUUUUGAAAACAUUUGCCUUUUUACUUAUCAAAGAAAAUUCUUUUUUUUAAAAGAAAAUAUAUACAUUUAGGCUUUCAUCAGGUAUCGUAGAAACCUCAAAACAGUGGUGUCAUCCUAUUACAGAUAUCGAGAUGCUAUUAAACUUCAACUAUUCUACGAUCCAUGUAGUCGUCCAAAAUCAAGUAAAGGGUAAGAAGUGUUUUUCAUGUGUUCUAAUUUUGUGUGCAUUCUAUGAAGAAGGUUCUGCAUGGUUCUACUUAUAGGGUGGUUUUUUAUGGUUUUCUAUAUGCUUGGCUGGGAUUUUUACGUGUCUAAAGAUUCUCAAAUUGCUUUUCACUAUUACCCAUACUAGUCUAGUAAGGUAUCUUGAUCUUAAACUAUUAUAGGAUACAAAUGAAAAAUGUUUAAUAUAAAUAAGAGUAUUUUAGAUGUAUUCACCUCAUAAAAGUGUAAGUACUUUACUCCCUCCUAAAAAGAUUGGAGCUCACGUAUAAAACUUAUGCAUGUAAAUGAACACAUAAUUGAAUGUGCCAAACAAACAAGCAUUUGAUACUCUUUACCAAGAUUCCAAUAUCUUAAAUGCCUCAUAAUUUAUUAGACAACAGAGAAAAUGCCAUAAUUAACAUAAGUAAUGAAUGAUAUAAAUAAACAUGAAUGUAGGCAACAUUAUUUUUUUUUUUGCAAAAUUUUUCAUUUUUCAAAAUUUUUGUUUUUGAAAAAUAGAAUAAGGAAAUUACUAUUAAAUAUCAAUUAAAACCAUUAAAUCGAAACUUAGGAUAGCACAUAAUUUAUUUUUGGCUCGACUUUAAAAAAAUAUCUCUAGUGAAGUGGUCAAGUUGUCACACCAUACGGGUUUAGGAAUCUGACCACCUCGUUAAAAUUUUAAAAUUAAAACAAUGAGUUGUCACAAAUCUUUAUUUGAGUAGAUAUGAUUGGUUACUUAAAAAAUUAUUUUUUUAAUAAAAAUUUUAAAAUUAAUUAAAACUUAUUAAAAAUAUAAUUUUUUGGUAUGCAAAAACACAUCUGAGUUAAAAAAUAUGGUUAUACAUGGGGAAGUAUUAACACCCCAUAAUACCGGUUAAAAAAUAGUCUCAAUUAAUAACAUAUAUUCCUUUAAUAUUGAUAAAAAAAAUGGCCUAAAUUUUAAAAUUUAAAAAUAAUGUCUUAAAUCCCAUUUACUAUCAUAAAACCCCCUUUUUUGCCAUCAUUUUUAGAAUCAUUUUAUUUAGAAAUAAAAUAAAAAUUUUGUGUUUUGAAUUUCUCAAUAUCCAGAUAAAAUUUAGAAAAAUGUUUUUGACUUAGGUAUUUUCAUGAUAAUCCUUAAAACCAAAGAUAAUAUUUUUUUCAUAAGAAAUAAUUAUUAAGAAUCCCUUUAAUAUUUAGGCAGAGUUUCAAGAAAUAUUUUACUUAGGAUAUUAUCUUAUUUUGUUUUUAAAAAAUAAUUUCUUUUAUAGUCAUCUUUUACUACACUAUAUAUUUUUUAAGAAUAGUAAAAUGUAUGUGAUGUAACAUGAAGCAAAUUAAUGAUGCAAAAUAAACUAAAAGAUAAAAAUGACCAAUUUAAUUCAUAUUAUAAAUCUUUAACUUUAUCACUUUAUAUUUUUUCAUUGUUGUUUUUUUUUUAAAUAUUUAGUGAUAAAAUGAAAAUAUUUUUGUGUUUUUAGAAGUAACCUUUGUGCAUUAUCAACAUUAUAAUAUUUAUAAAUCUGAUAAUAUUAAAUUUUUAAGUUCAAUUCUCAUCAUACGUGAAAUUAAUUUAAUUUUAUAUUAAAUUUAUUUAAUUAUGUGUCGAUUUAUUUAUUUGAUUUAAUUCAAUGAUUUUCUUAUAUAAUACUUUCUUAUACUAUUAAGUUCAUAAAAAAAUUAAUAACUAAAGAAUUUCCUAAAAUUUUCAUUGACAUAGCAAUUUUUUUUUGGAACUCUUGAAGGCUUGGCAACAAGAGUAGCUUUUUUGCUUUAUAAUAACCAAAAAAAGUCAUAUAUAAUCCUAACUAGAAAUAAGGAGAAUGACUUUUUGGUUUUAAUUUGAAAUUCAAAACUAAUAAUUAAAAGUCCCCUCUCCUCAUGACCUGAAUAUCAUAAUCACUUAUUAUGAUUAGACUUGAUAAUUUAAAUUAUGAUAUGAUUAUAUAAUAUGAAUACAAUAUAAAAUUAAAUACGAAAGUGAUAGAGUUUAAAAAUUAUAAUAAUAACUAUAUAUAAUUUAACAAAAUAAAAAUAUAUAUUUUAUAUUUUUAUAUCGAUACGAAAUAUGACAUAAUUUUUGUGUAAAACACAAAACGAAUACAUGAAUUUCAUUAUAUUACACUAUAUGAAUACGUGAAUCGUCAGAUUUACUUAUGAUAAACAUGGUUAAUCAAUUAGAAAAAAAAUGAAAAAAAAAGUAUGUAAACAUUAAGUUGCUAGCUAUAAAUUAUUAGCCUAAAACACGAAUGGUUUAUAUUUUGAAUUUUUUUGUCCAUGGAAAUGCAUUUUUUUAAUAAUAAAUAAUAAAUCAAUCAAUCAAUCUAGUAAUGAAAUAAUUAAAAAUUUAAAACUAGAGAAAAUAUUCACAUGUAUGCAAAUGCAUCUUCAUAAAUUAAUUUCAUUUCACACUGUUCAAAAAGAAUGAUAUUCGAUAUAUAGCUAGAUCAAGACACAAGAAUAUGGAUGAAAUAUGGACAAUCUUCAAUUAAUUAACAAAUCAGUGAAAAUAUGUUUAUAUUACCGAAAUCAAUAAAAACUAAAAGAAAAUAUAAUAAAAAAGGCCAAAACCUUUUGUCCCUUUUCAUAAUAAUGCUCCUUCCAACAAUGUUUUAUACCUUGGCCUUUGAGGAAAGUGAUGGCCUUGGAGUAGCAUGCUGUCUUCUUCCAAAUUAAUCACCCAAAAAUUCCCACUAAUUAGACGAAUAAUAAAAAAUUAUAAAGAUCUCAGUGGAAUUUAAAAAAUUAUAUGAUGUAAAAGUUGAAUUACAUAGUAGUAUUUUUGCCAUUUACAUGUUUUGAUUUGGUUAUAUUUUUAUUAUUCCUUUUUAAAUGUCAUGAAUUCAUCCUCAUUAUUGCAUGGUAUCUUUUUGGUAUUAUUGUUGGGGCGCUUCUACAAAUUUUGCGACAACUCAUAACAAAUAAUCUCUGCAAAGCAUAUUGCAUAUAAAUUUGUGGGAUAAUUAACUUCCAAUUCAAUUUGGUUCCAUAUGGGUCUUGAUUUUUUGAACACUAUACUGUUUCAUAUGUAUAGGAUACUUUCAUUUCAAAUUAAUAUAAAAAAUUGUCAAAACAAAAUUUAUUCAUGUUUGACGUCCUAUCAACGAGUUCAUAUAACAUAGUGUAUAAAUAACAUCAUUGAAUUAAUUAUUAAAUCACCACAAUAAAAACAAGCAUGGAGAACUAUCUAUGACAUGUAAGUAGACAUAACUACAUACUGCUCAUACAUACAAGCUGCUAUAAGGAACUAAUAAAGAACCAGUAAACCAAACUGAACACAAAAAACCAUGUUUCUUUAGAGUACAUAAAUUUUGCGAACAAUGUCUUGGCCAAGCGAUAAGAAGAGGAUUUAGGAGACAUGUAAGCUUGAGUUCGAGUCCAAAUAAAAAAUAGAUGAAAUUUGUCUUACAUGAAUGGCUAAACAUGACUUUAUUUACAAUAUCAAACACGCAAAUGCUAUGAAAUGUAGAGUAAACUAGUUCUUCACUGCAAAGUAAAACUGAAAAAAUAGAGAUCCAACCAGUUGACGGCACCAUAAAACAGAAAGCUCCAACGAUGAUAAGCAUAAUCAAGUAUCAACCACCUAUCAUUGAGGCAAAGAAUGAAUAAGAAUUUAAACAAGAAGCUUGAUUAAGGAAAUCAUAAAUACAUGGACAGAGGCAGAUUCAAGAUUUUUGUUGGGAAGUAAUAUUAUCCAUGAAAAUAGUGUUUAAAAGAAAAUUUUGAAUGUUUAUGGAAAAUUUUCUUUUAAAAUUUCUUAUUUUCUAAUUUUUAACAGUGUCCCAAAAAAGAUAUUGAGGGUAUCCAACACAAAAUUUUUCUUUAAAUUUUUUUUAUUUUCAAUGUACACCCCACAAUGCCAUGUAAAUCCAACACUAGACAUGGAAAAAAGCCAUAUUUACUUGUUUAGCUAACAAGUUUCUCCUUAAAUUUUCACUUAAUAGCGUAACAUUAUCCUUGUUUCUCCCAGAGUCAUAUAUAGAGGUAUUUGAUCUUUCCAACCAGCCCAAAUUAUAUCAUUGCAGGUGGAUUGAUUAUCAACUAUUUCUUCCAUUGCGGUGAAACCUUCUGUUGUAUUAUUCUGAACUUGUUGGGGUUCCUUCACAACAAAAGACAAUUCUCAUUAAGUAAGUUAUGCUAGAAGUAAGUAAUUAAUUAAUUAAUUAUGCAUAUGACUUGUGUAUGUAUAUAAAAGAGUCAUCCAAUUCAUAAUAAUAUGUAGUUAUAUACUAACAUAACUUUUGUUUCCAUCAUCGUUUCAUCAUUAGUAUCAAUAUGAUCAAGAACAACAAAUUAAUUAAUUCAGCAUAAUAGUUAGAAAAAAAAAGUCAGUUAGGGACCUCUGUUACCUCUGUUAUGGCAGGCACAGGAUGUUUUGAAUCCAUGAUGACACUUGUGGUCAACUUGGGAGAUUUGGUUAUUUUAAACGACCACAUAUAAGGGAAUCCGAAAUAACAACCAGUUGGAGCAAAACUCUUUAGGUCUGAUAGCUCAGAAAGAUCCACUAUUUCUAAUCUAGGGAGCACUAUUCCCUUUUGAUCAUCUUCAAUGUCUAGUUCACCUUGAUACCCAAAGACUUGCUCUAGUUUAGAAGGCCCUGUAAUUUUGAUGCUCUUGAGGUUGGCAAAAGAACAGGUGACACUAAUAGGAAACAAGCUUUUCAAAUUGCUGCAACUAGAAAUCCGUAUGUCUUGAAGACUAGGGAAGGAUAUAGUUUGGAGAUGACCCUGUGAUGAUGAUGCUAUUGAGGUUUGGUCCAUUUCAAUGAUUUCUUCUAGCUUCUCACAAUACUCUAUAUUCAAAAUUUUCAAUUGCGGUAAAUUUCGAGUAAGCAGAGAAGAGAAGAGAGAUUUCAGCUUAUUACAAUUUGACACUUUUAAGUCUUUAAGACAAGGAAGGCUUGCAACUUGGAUGGGACUCUGCAACUGAUGUAUACCCUCUAGAUUUAAAAUCUCAAUCCUUAAGAGUAAGUGUCCAUCUUGAAUUUGAAAAAUAUUCUCCCAAUUAAUAGUGUCGCACAAGUUGUCUUGCUCCAACUCAGAACAUCGUAAUUCCUAUAUAAAUAUAAAAAUGUCAUAAUUUCAUUAAAAUUUGAAUAAAUUACAAUGAUCAAAGAAUAUAUGAUUUCAAAAGUACAAAAUCUAAUACAUAUAUAUUACAAGAUACAAAAUUAUCAGAUAAGAUGUGUUGAUAUAUACAUUUAUAUGAAUAAUUUCUCUUUAUAACAUGUAGAAUAAUGUUUAUAUUAUUACAUUAUUUAUCAAAUAACUCUAUUUAAUAAAUUAUUUAAAUUUAAUAUUUUUGAAUAUUUAAUUAAAUUCAAAUCAAAAUCUAUAAAAAAAUUUUGCACAAAUUUUAAAUUCAAAUAUAUUAAAUUAUAAUUUAUUUUUUCUUUUUAAAUUAAUCAUAGUUCCAAAAAUAUAUAUAUUUAUAUGCUUAAUAUAUUUUUAUCUACCAUCAAAUAAUUCUUUUUAAUAAAUUAUCUAAAUUUAAUAUUUUUGAAUAAUUAUUUAAAUUCAAAUCAAACUCUAACAAAGGUUGAAAAUUUUGCAUAAGUUUUGCAUUUAAAUAUAUUAAAUCAUAAUUUAUCUUUUUUUUUUAAAUUUAAUCAUAAUUCCAAAUAUAUAUAUACACUUAAUAAAUUCUUAUUUGAUGAAAUCAGAAUCUAAAAUUGAAAAUAAAGAGUUUAUAAAGUGAGAUCACCUUCUAACCAAUCUUAUUUUAUUUGUUGUUAUUAGAAUUAGAAAUUGAAAAAUACAAGCCUUUUUUUUUUACUUGACAGUUAUGAUUUAUUGGUUUUGAUGGGAACGGACAAAAGUUAGAAAGAAGAGUAAACCACAUCAUACCGUGAACAAGUUCAUUUUUGCCUUUAUUAUUCUCUUUUUUCUUUUAUUUUCUUUUUUAUUUGUAAAAAUAAAUAUGUGAUGGUGUUGGAUUAUUUUUACUUUUGUAUAUUUUUUGCUUAAAUGACAUUGAUUUUUUUUAUCAAAUUUCAAUAAUGGAAAGAAAACAUAGGUACAUUUGGAUUGAUUUCAACUUGAUAAUAGGUAUGGUUCAUUACUAUUUUUCAUAUUUUAUUUUUUUUUAUUUCCUCCAUUUGUUUGUUCCUUCAAACUAUUUAUUUGGUCUUAUUUCUAUUAUAUGAUAUAUACAUUUGAUUUGAUUUAUUCUAAAAAAUUUUUUGAUUUAUAUAUUUUUAUAUAUUUAGUUAAGUUGGAUAUUUGAUACACAUAAGUUUAAGAGAUACUGUAUAUGCAUUCUCAAUUUGUAUAUUUGAUUUUUUUUUAUAAACGUAUCUUUGACUUAUGUUUUAAAAAAAGCAAAUAUAUAUGUUGAAGUAUGUAGAAAAUAAAAACUAAUAAAGAGCAAAUGGCUAUGAACAAAUUAAUAAUUAUAUAUGCUCCAUUGUUCAAUCAAAUUUAUAUAUAUAAAAGAAAUUAUUAUUAUUUGAUGUUUUAUUUUUGGUUCGGGUUUAUAAGAUUUAAGAGUUUAUGAAUGUUCUAUUAAUAUAAAUGUCUUUUACAAUUUAAUAAAAUGAUUUUUUUUUUUAUAUCCAUAUUAACAUUAUCAUAAAAAAUUAUUAAUUUUGACUAUUAAAAGACUAACCCUUGCUUUUUUUAUCAAAAAAAUAAAUAAUUAGUAACAAAAUUUUUCGUGUUUAGCAAAUAAAUAAAAAAACUAAUUUUUUGAUAAAAAAGAAAGGAUUUUUGAAAUUUUGUAAAAAAUUAAACUUAAAACAAAAAUAUGUGAAUGCUAUCAUUUAAUCGUAUCUUAAAAUUUAUGAAUGUAUGAUUAUAUAUAGUUGAUUAAUAAAAUUUUAAAUAUUCUUUUAUUAAGGAAAUAUAAAAAAUUAAAGUUAAUUAAAAAAUAAAUUUAAAUUAUGAAAAUAAUAACGUAAAACAAAUACCAUUCUCAAGAUUUUAUUAUAAUGUACAAAUUAAAUAUAUUUAAUUGAUUUUCAAAUUCUAUUUAUUAUAUAAGCAAGUGAAAUGUUAUCUAAAUGUUCUCUAUGAGUACCAUGUCAUCAAAGUUUGCCUAUAUGUAUGCAUGCCAGCAGUUUGAAUUCCCAUCCAAAUCGGAUUUCAUUAAAUUAAAAUAGUAGGAUAGCUAAAUUACACACAAUAAUAAUGUAAGGGCUUAAGUGAAAUUUUGAUUAUAAUAUGGCUAGAGAGCUUAUUUUAUUAUUUUACCAUUACUUAACAAGGUUUUUUUUUAUUAUUAUUUUUAAAUAACAAACAAGUUUAACUCAGUCUUGAAUGAGUUGAACAUAAAAUAUUGUUAAAGAUGAGAGUUCAACAUAAGUCUUGAAUGAUUUAUUUUAAUUUUUCUAAUAUAAAACUUACAUAAGAACCCCUUUUUGAAAAGAGAAUAAAAACUUUGAUUAUUUUAUGAGUAUAGAAAAGAUUUGGGCCAAAGGUAAAAUCUCAAACCAUAAUGUACGGAAAGGAGUAUAAAAUUACCUUUAGUUGAAGCCGUUUGUGGACUACUUGUUGAAUAAUGAACUUUGCAAAUCGAGGACAAACCACUAUGGUUAACCUCUCCAAUGAUGGUGGCAGAAUGGCAUUAUCAACUCCAUUCUUUUCUUUUGCCACAUUGAAGACAUAUUGUAGUCUUGGACAACUAUGUAUUUCAAGAGAUGUCAAUUUUGGCAAGGGCGGAGGAUGGAGAAAGCCACCGUCUGAUUCUAUAUUAUCAUCAAUUUCCAACUCAGUGGCAAUAUGUUCCAGUUCAUCGCAGUACUCUAUCUUGAGUUGUUCUAGCAUCACCAAGCUUUGAACAAGUGAUGGUGAGAAGAGAUAUUUCAAUUUAUUGCAGCGACUAAUUACUGCAACCUUCAGGCUUUGGAGGCAGACCGAUGGUUGGGCCUUUACAUAUCCACUUAAUUCUGGUAAUAGCUCUAGCUCCAAAACUUGUUAAAUUUGGCAGCAGCGGAACGGUUGAGACAUGGCCUUGGUCUGUUGUAUCAAUCAAGCAUUCCAGCUCUUUAUCAUCUCUAAGUGUAAGAAAAGUUAAUUCAUUUAGUCCCUGUGGAUCUACGCUUGGAAUGAGAUUUUUGUGAUACAUGAUUCCAUCCAUGGCAAGUUUUCUGUCAUCCUGAUAAAUUCACAAUAUAAUGAAAAAUAGCAGCAACAUUAGAAACAUAUAAUUAGAUUUCUUUUAUUAGGAAAGAGAAAGAUUUGAGUUAAAAGAAUAUUUUUAUUCCUCGCUUUUCACUAAAAGUUUGUUACUGCAGAAAUUUAAAUAAUUCAAAUUAAGCUGAAUAUAAUUACUGUUUAGAAAGCAUGGAUAGUGACAAAUAAUACAGGUAUGAUAUGACAUGGAUAUGACAAUUAAACAAUUUUAAAAAUAAAAAAUAUGGGUACGGUAAAACAUGACAAUAAAAUAUAUUUUUAUAUAUUUUUUAUCCCUAAAUUUUUUAUACGAAUAUAAAUUGAACACAAUUAUAAAAUAAUUAAUGGUAUGUGUAAAAGUAAAAUAAAAUAAAUUUAUAAACAAGAUUUAAAUUAUAUAGGAAAAAAUAAUCAAUAUAAUUAUAAUUUUUUUAAUUUAAUUUUUAAUACUAAUAAAUUAUAAAAUUUUAAACUUUUUAAAUAGUUUCAUUUUUCCUUUUUUUCUUUUCUUUUUUUUUCCUUCUUUUUCUUUUUCUUCCUACAUUUUCUUCUUUUUCUUUUCUCUCUUUUUCAUCCCGUUUCUUCUUUUUUUUCUUUCAUUUUCCCCUUUUUCCCUUCCCCAAAUCAUACGAUUUAUAAGCUUUAUAAAUUCAAUAAUAGUAGUUAUUGAAUAAUAUUUUAUUAUGUACAGAAUUAAAAAGAGAAAAAAAUACAAAGAUUUUAUAAAAUGUGUUAAUAGAGAGAAAAAAAUAUGUAGUGCUAGUUUUUCUCAACCUGCAAACCAUGUAAUAAGUAUACAUUUAAUCAACCUUUUUUCUUUUAAACAUCAACAGAAGCUAAUUAUAUAUAAUACUAUAUAAUACUUUUACAUUUAAAUGUGAAUGUACUGAAUUUUGACAUUUGUGUUAUAAGAUAAAUAAUUCAAUAAAUUAUUACCAAAAUAAACAAAAUUAAAACAAAAAUAUAGUAUAAGAGAAGUACCUUUAAAUUGGCCAGCAACGUCUUAAACUCAGUUAAUUGGGGACAACUGCGAACCUCGAACUCCUUCAAAGAUAAUGACAUGACAAAAUUUUCUGGACAAAAAUUUUUCAACUUCUCUAAAUUUUUAAGCCUUAAAAUUUGCAAUCUCUGUAGCACAAUCUCUUGUAGCGGACGCCCACCCUUGUCCUUUGUCAUAUUGAAGACCUGCUUUAGUUGAGAACAAUCAGUUAUCUCAACAGAUUCCAAAUAAAGAAGUCCUUGAGCCAAAGUGAUUGGAAACACAUAAUUCAAUCUUCCACAAUUAAUUAUCUUGAGAGUUCUCAACUUAGGCCAGUGGAAAGGAUAGCCAUCCACGUUUGAAACUAUUUGAUCCUCAUUUUCUGCUUCAUCGAAGAUUAAAUGCUCCAAAGAAUCGCAAUAGCUUAUUUCGAGUACUUCCAGAUGCUCCAAACUUCGAGCAAGGGGAGUCGAAAAGAGAUAUGCCAGUUUCGGACAUUUCCAUAUUCUCAUAGUCUUAAG